This 62711-nucleotide long non-coding RNA is filed under the name Phaseolus vulgaris (common bean). RNAcentral describes it as "long non-coding RNA (PVUL_LNC001966)". The record is from RNAcentral. Lineage: Eukaryota; Viridiplantae; Streptophyta; Magnoliopsida; Fabales; Fabaceae.
GUUCUAGAUAAGUGUUGAAAGACUAACAUAUGCUUUUUCUGUAAAUGGAAGUCUCAAUUUGCAUAAUCGAAAGUUGAAAACUAACAAAUCACAUAAUGUCAUAAGACAACAAAAAAAUGCAAUAAAGCCCAGUUGAAAAACAGGUAAUUAUUUGACCUGAAAUAAAAAAUACAUAAAUCACAAAUGUAAAGAUUAAUACUUGAAACAGAAACGGUAAGAUAUUUGAAACUUAUUUUUGAAGUCUCUGUUUUGGAAAGAAAGCUUGCGGUAGAUACUAAUGGAGGCCCAAAUAUAGUUGUUCGUUUUCUCCUCUGCCCUCUGUAUCUUUGCUACUUUUCUUCAGAACCCAAAAACUGAAAUCUUUGGAAGGAGUAAAAAUUGACUCAAAGACCAAUCUUUUUCCCCCCUAUCCAUAAAGUGGUAGCGGAUAAAAUGCCUCUGAAAAAGUGGAAGUAGGGAUUAAUGCGAAUAAGACCUUACAAAAUACAAAGUUCCGGCAAAGAAUCUUAAUCCACACAAGAUAUUACCAUUACAUUUUACAUGGUAAAACACAAGAAACUAAAAGACAUGGGUUUCAGUUCCCUUCACCAUUUGGAUAAACCUUUCUCUGCACUUUUAGUUUUCCUCUUACAUUCAUCAUUAUUUUGCCGCUAUGCCAAGAAGGACUAGUGAACAAGGCAAGGCAAGGAAUGUAAGAGGAAGAGGAGAGAGAGACAAACCAUGAAACAAUGUCCUCUCUCUGUCUCUCAUAUAUCAAUUCAUAAACCAUAGCUACUCCAACUUCAAUCUCUUUCUUCCUUAAUAAAUAAACAAAUAAACCCAUAACCCCACCCACAAAGCAACUUAAUUUUCCCAUCCUAGAAUAAUUACCCGACCAUUACCACUAUUAUAAAACCAGUUACGAUAAAAAGCCCUUUCCAUUUCCCAAAAUUUUCGAGCUUCCUAAUUAAUUGUGCAUUCAAGAGGAAGCACUCCAAACCAAAACCAAAACCAAGCAUCAUUUUACAACACCAAACCAAACCAAGCACAUCGUCAUAAUUGUUCCACGAAAGAAGAAUGCUCCCCAUCACCUGCAUUCUUUUAAUGUGCCUUCUAAGUUCUUUCUCCCCCCCAAUUGAAGCUCUCCUCAACCUCACCGUACUACCCCACCAACACCCUCACCCUGAAUCCAUAGUCCACGAACUUCAACGGUAAACAAUCUUUCAACAACCCAACAACCCACAUUAUAUACUUCUGCUUCUCCCACCUCUCAAACACUAAAAAUUUCGCUGCUUUCUGUUUUGGUGAUGCAGGAAGGUUAAUGUCUCGUUAUGGAGAAGGCAAACACUGUCCAAGGACCAACAAGCCUCGUGUCUCACCGGAAACCCCAUCGACGACUGCUGGCGGUGCGACCCCAACUGGGGGGCGAACCGGCAGAAGCUGGCGGAGUGCGGCAUCGGGUUCGGCAAAGACACCGUGGGCGGGAAGGGCGGGCAGAUCUACGUGGUGACGGACUCGUCGGACCGCGACCCGGCCAACCCCGUUCCCGGCACGCUCCGGCACGCCGUCAUCCAAGACGAGCCUCUCUGGAUCGUGUUCGCCGCGGACAUGACCAUAAACCUUAAACACGAGCUCAUCUUCAACAGCUUCAAAACCGUCGACGGAAGGGGCGCCAACGUCCACGUCACGGGCCACGGCUGCAUCACGCUCCAGUACGUCUCCGACGUCAUCAUCCACAACAUCCACGUCCACCACUGCACGCCCUCAGGGAACACCAACAUACGGGCUAGUCCAACGCACGUUGGGUGGAGAGGGAGAUCGGACGGCGACGGCAUCUCCAUCUUCAGCUCCCGGAAGAUCUGGAUCGACCACUGCUCCCUCUCUUACUGCACGGACGGCCUGAUCGACGCCAUAAUGGGCUCCACCGCGAUUACCAUUUCCAACAACCACUUCGCCCACCACGACGAGGUCAUGCUCUUGGGACACAACGACAAGUACUCCCCAGACAGAGGCAUGCAAGUCACCAUUGCGUUCAACCACUUCGGCGAGGGUUUGGUUCAGCGCAUGCCACGUUGCAGACUCGGCUACAUCCACGUCGUCAACAACGAUUUCACCCAGUGGGAGAUGUACGCCAUCGGCGGCAGCGCCAACCCCACCAUCAACAGCCAGGGUAACCGUUACACCGCCCCCUCCAACCCUGAUGCCAAAGAGGUACACUGAAUCAACCUUUUUUUUCAUUAUUUCACUCUUUUUAAUCUUUAUUAUUUAUUAAUAUCAAUAAUCUCAACCCUCCUAAAAAACUCUUUUUUUUUUCUGUUCUUGGAAAUGGGAAUGAACUGUUGCUUAUAAUCGUAAUAAUAAUGUCAUGUGCCUGCCCACUGUGCUUCUUUUGUUUGACUCCUGUUUGGAACGAAUAUAUGCUUUCUGGAGGAAUAUUGUAGUCGCGUGGGCGGCGCGUGAGGUGGUUUUGUUGAUGAAGUGAGGGUUUGGUUGUGUUGGAAUGGCAGGUGACGAAGCGCGUGGAAACAGACGACAGGGAGUGGAGUGGUUGGAAUUGGAGAACGGAAGGGGACGUAAUGGUAAAUGGAGCAUUCUUUGUACCGUCGGGUGCAGGGAUGAGUGCACAGUACGCGGAGGCCACCAGUGUGCAACCCAAAUCCGCCGUGCAAAUUGACCAGCUCACCAUGUAUUCCGGUGUCUUCGGUGAUCCCAGGUAUUUUAUUAAUAAUAAUAAUAAUUAUUAUAUCACCUUUACCUUUUAAUUUUUUUAUAUAAUUAUAAUAUAGUAUUCUUAUGCGCGUAUUAUUAUUCCCUUUUCAACUGAGUUCUCUAAUGGAAUAAUCUGGCCCUACAACGGACAUUACCUGUCUUCUUAACUGUCCUUAGAAAGGGUAGUGUGGUCUAUUGGUGUGUUAAUGUUAGUAACAGUGCUGUGUGAAAAGGUUAGUGUGGUCUUUUGGAAACAAGGAAAUGACGCGAAUGCCCCUUACUCUGUCUGUCUGUCCCACAUGCCUCUCACACGGUGCAGCACAGCAGAGUGCCAACUGUGCGGUACAAGUUGUUCGGAUUCUGAUUGGGUUGGUGUUGAAUGAAAAGUUGUGUGGAACAUUGUAAAAUGUUUUUUACGUCUUGUUUCCCAAACCUUGGUUUAUGCUAAAACUCACUUUACAGGGUUAGGUGUAGUAGUAAUUGGACUGUUAUAGAGGAACCCGAGAUUGGGAUUAGCAAUGGUGAUUAAUAAUUAACUAAAUCAGAGGAAAGUGGAGUCUUUUUGGCCAUGCACGUGAUCGUGAGGUCAUUGGAAAAGGAGAAUCUCUGCCUCAUGGCCCAACACUUAACAGCCCCAGUUACAGUUCAUUUGUCUUCAUUCACCUUUCUCUUCCAAACUUCACCUUACACCACAUUAUAUUAAAAAGAUUAUUCUUUUCUUUCUGUUUUUUUUUGGAGAUUUUGAAAGCACCACACUUUUGUUUAAAUCCCCUCUACCCUCUUGAAUGAAGUGUGAAAUGGAUGGAAGCGCAGAAAUGGGUGAAGGAGUUGAAAUACUAGGGUUGGAGCGUAGUAGGUCCAUGUCAGAUGUUUUGGCUGAAAUUUUAUUCCUUUUUAUGUGCUUUCCAGCAAGUAAACAUGGGACCCUUUCAUUGUAUGAUAACGUGUUUUGAAACCCUUUUGGACCCAUUUUCUGAUUCAACAUGUACCAGUCACAACACACUCAUCAAAGCAGCUUCUCAUUCAUAAUUGGGAAAGUGACUCUCCCCUUAUUAACCCAACCCAACCCUUUUAUCAUACAUGCUGCUACUUAAGAGUAACCCUGCAUCUAAUUUGAAUUGUCAAUGCCUUCUGCCACUUGUUUGGCACAGUUAGCAACUAUCCCUCUCAAUAAAAAAUGAGAAAUUAUUGGAAAGACAAGCUUUUGAGCCAUCUUUUCCAGGAAUGACACAUAAUUUUUGUGAGUUGUACAAUGAAUCUGAUUGGGUAGAUAGCAAAGGGUGUCAAAAACAGAAAAAUGUUGCUAUGCAGGGUCAUAUUAGGUGUCUUGUGAAAUUCAAAAUACUACCUAAACCAAUUUAUUUGGAAUUUGACUUCAUCGCCUGAAUUUGUUGAAUCUAGUCACCCAUGUUUCUUUACACAGCUGCACCCUUUUCCAAUUCCUACUCUCAUCACACACCUUUUAAUUAAUGCCAAUUAAAUCGCCUCCACAACACAACAAAUUAGUUUCAAUAAUACUCAGAAUUACCUCACAUUCUACCUUUUCUUCAAGUUGAAGCCAAUGAAAUAUUUGUCUGUGUGGUUCCUUCUAUUUGAAGCUAAUGCCUUUUCACUUUCCAUUGCCCUUAUUUUCCAUGUCUCUACCAAACCAAAAAAAGUAGCUUUCUUAGAGUUCUCAUGAGUGAAUAAUUGAACAGGGAUAACGGGGAUCUGUAUCCCGGUUUCAACGGUGGUGGGACCGUGACCGGAGCAACCAGCAAGGGCAACAGUGCGGGGUCCAGUGACGACGGAGACUUCUUCGGAAUGAUAUUCAGAGGAAGCAGCAGCCAUGCAGCGCCACCGUCACCACCGUCUUCCUCCACUGUAUUUGUCACAACCUUUUUGUCUCUUCUAAUUAUUCUGAUUUUGGACACUUCCACCACCAACCAUCCCUUUCUAUGAUCACGCAAUUGGGAUCAACAAAGAAAAAAAAAAGAAUGAUCGAAGUUUCUACAAUUUGUUUUUAAAUUUAGAAACUAGGAAUCAUAAUUAGGUAUGUACACACAGCUCUUCAAAGUUAUCAUUAUAUUGAAAUCUAUAUAGAGCUAGUUCCACUAUCAUUGCUCAUUGCUUCAAAUGUAUAGUUUAAUAUAUUCAAAUUUCAUAAUCUGCUUUUACAUUUCUAUGUAUACUCCUUCUUCAACUGUAACUAUUUUAAUUUCAUUUUAUAGACGCAAACUCAUUCUCUUAAAUCUUUAGAUAAUCCAAAACCCAAGCACAUGAUCUUUAAUUCGACUUCAAUAACUUCACAAGAUUUUAGUUUGAAAUUGCGAACAAAAAAUGUAGUAGAAAAUAAUAACUUAUUAAAGGUGGUUUAUUGAAAAAAAUAUGUAGUUUUAAAAAUAUUGCAAAAAUAUUAAGAAAAUGUCAUUAGCAAGAAUUGAACAACUUUUAAUGUCCCUCCAAAAUAUUUAUGUACAAAUAUUCAAUAUGAAUUUAUCUUUAGUAGAAAAGACAUUAAAAGUUGUUCAAUUCAUAAGAACUCAAUUUGUAUCUUAUGAUAACUUGAGUUUAAAUUUCGUUAUUGAUGUGUAAGUGUAUUUUUUUUGUUCUUGAGAUUGAUUUUCUAAUUUUGAUGAAUCUGUUGAUAUAUUUAUAAUUUAUAAUUCUUUAUAUAUUUUUUAAAUCACAUUAAUUAAUUACUGCGACUGUGAUAAAAUUUGUGACAAAAAAAUAUUCAACGUAACAUGCAGAUAAAUUCAAUUUUACCAGUAAUUCUUUUUUUUUAAUUGCCACAUAACUCUUGCCUCUCAUCUUUAUUUCUUUCAUUUCAUGCGUAUAUUAUUCACCAAUUAAUUUCAACAAUGCUUGUUUUUAUUUUAUUUUAUACGAGUUAUGCAAGCUGUACAUUACCAAUAGGAUGACAAAACGGGUUAAUUCAACAAAACGGGUCAAUUCAUUCCCAUUCGUUGUUGAUUUAUCAAAACUGAGGCGGAUCAAAAUGACCUGUUUAGGUUAUGUGGGUUAAAAUUCGUAACCCGCUUUGUUAUUAAAUGGAUUGGCGUAUUUGUCUAUCACUUUUCAAUCUUUGUUUUUGAAAAAUAUUUUUUUAUAUUUUUAUUUUGUUUUAAAUCUAUUUAUUUGAUUGUAAUUAUUGAUAUCACUUUUGAACAAUAAAAAUGUAAAAAACAAUAAUAAAAUUAAAUUAAACUUUAAUAUUCUAAUUGAAUAAAGUUUAAUAUUUAAUAAAAUAAAUAUUAACAAUACUCCAAUGAAUAAAAUGAUAUAUAUAAAAAAAAACUUCAUACCAAUUUCAAUUUUAAAAAUAUAAUAUUUUUUUCAAAAAACACCACAAAUAAAAGAGGGUGAGCAGACAUGUCAUGUCCUGCCCACCUAUAAUCUGAUGGAUUGUCAGGUUAGAUGAACCGAAUCAAUACAAAUUAACGAAUUCAAAAAUUAGCUUGUCUCAUCUAAAUGAAGACGGGUUGAUGGACCGACCCGCUGAACUGACUCUGUUUUGACACCCAUAAUUAUCGGUACAAUAAUUAUUAAAUAUAUGUACUUGAAAUAUUUUUAUUCUAACAUAUAAUUACAAAUUUAUUUUUAUUAUAUAUAUUUAUUUCUAAAUUCAUCAAAUUGUGGGGUCUUGAAGUUGAAGUUGAAUGUGUGGCUUUUGGUCGUGCUUUACUUGUUUCCAUUAUGUAGAAUUUCUACUAAUACAUCAAAAAAUGUCAUAAGUGGCACAUCGACUUCGAAUUGUUUACUUUUUACAUUAUAAUCUUGGCUUUUGAAACGCAUUUAGCGUUUCGUACAUCUAGUUUUGGAAUGAGACUAAACCAUCAAUUUCAUAUUUAAAGUAUAAUUAUUUUUCCUACUUAAUUCCUCAAAUAUUUUUAACUAAUUAAGAGUACCUAAUACUUGAAGACAUUCAUAAAAUAAAUAAUUUUAAAGUUAGUCAAAUAACAUGUUAGUAUAGUAAAUGUGUUGUAGUGUCAUAUUGAGUUAUGAUUCAAUCCCCUUGUAACAAAAUCAACACACUACAAGAUAAUAUUUUAUCAAGAAUAUAAAAAACUAAAAGAAUAAGAAAAAUCAAGAAAAUAAGAUAAAAAUAGGAACAAACCUAUGAUUAUAUAGAUUUAAUUGUAAUGUUAGAGAAACAAACUUCAUUAUAAAAAAAUCAUAAAAAAUCAAGAUAUAUUACUAAAUAUUUCAUCUAAGAAAUUCUUUUUUAUAUUUCAGUUAGAAUAAUUUACAAAAGUGAAAAAAAAACACCAAACAUAUUUUUUCUCAUCACCGUUAAUAAUAUAUGUUUUUAUUAAUAUAUUUACAACUCAUUAAUCAAAUAAUACCAUUGCACUCAUGUGACUAGAUACAAAUGUGUGUUUUUUUUAGUUUUUUAGCCAAAAGUCUCUUCUCCAUUAUUUCUCUCUACUAUUUGUAUCCAAAAUCGUCUUGUUAUGCGAAACAUUCAUAAGUUACUUUCGUAGAUUUUGACUUAUGUUUUGAAAAUUCGUUAUGAAAAUUUUGCCAAUAGGUUAGAUGUUGGUCAUGUGAUUGAGGAACGACUGACUUAAUGUUAUCACAACGUUCAUGCGAACACCAACUUUUUUGAAUAACCCCUUCAAGAAAUAUCCGAGUACCCUACAAUGCAAUAUCUUGCUAAGAAAAUGAACAAAGGUAGGACAAAACAAAAAUUAAAGAUAAAAAAAACAAAACCAAAGAAUUACUAUGCAGAAAAAAAGAUUAAUAAUGAAUGUGUCAAACUAUAAAGACUUGGCAACUAGAGAGUAAUUAGAAGAUAACUAACUGAAAUAAUGAUCACUUAAUAAAAGUAUGUAGGUGCCAUUUUCACGAAUUGAUUUGAAAACAAUGGAAAGAAGACGAUAGGAUAUGAGUGGAUGAAGUGGCAUUUCUACUUCCAUGUCAACUUCUAAGACAAUUUUUUAAUAUUUAAUUUUAAUGUUACUUUUCUAUGUAAUAAUAAAGUGUUUAACGUGACUUGUCUCCAUAUCAAAAAGAAAAUGUUAAACCGUCCAAUUCAAAGAAUCUUCCUAUCUGCAUGUGAAGUAAUAUAACUUCAGAAGACGGUGUCUUUGCCUCAUCCUUUGGCACCAUUCUAUUAAUGCAUUAUCCAUCUAAAAAUAAUAAUGAUAAUAACUAUUCAGAGCACCUAAAAAAUAAUGACUUUUUUAAUAUAUAGUGCUCAUAAAUAAAGAACAUCUAUAUCAAAUAAUACAAGAAAGAAAAAACAAAUCAUUGCUUAUAUUAUAAGGGAGGAGGGUGGAGCCUCAUCCCUUAUUUUAUUUAACCCCUGAAUUUUAUUAAAAUAUUCAAAGUUUUCAUAUUAUGAUCUUAAAAAAAAAAAAAAAUCCCCAUUAAGAUAUCUCUAAUGUAGAAGUAAUAGUGAAAUUCAGAUGUGUGUUUUACAAAACAUUCCAUCGAAACAUGUUUAAUAUAUGAAAUUUAUGAUUUUGGAUAGUAAAAACAAGAAUUGGUUUUUAAAUUUUGAAAAAUUAAAGUAUAGAUAAAAUAAUUUAUUAAAAUAUAGGUCUUAUAAUGUUUGUAUUAUGGUAAAAAUUGCAACAACAAAAAUCUUUCAAAAUAACAUAAUGAAGAGGAGAUUUUUUACUUAAAAACUUAAAAAACAGACAUUUAUAUCUAGAAAUACAAAACACACAUUUAUAUAUGAUCACACGAAUGCUAAUGCUUAGUCAUAGUUACAUAGAAACUCCUUUAAAAAAAACAAUUUCUAAACAAGAUGAUUAAAUUCUAGAAUUGUCAAAGAGAAUAUAUGAGAUCGGUUGUGAAUAAAAUUCCUCUGUACAUUUAGGAUUUACUUAACCCAUUUUAUUGUCACAAACCCUCUUUAUUUAUUUUUAAUUGCCCUCUUCAAUUACAUCAAAAUAUUAGUUUAAAUCUAAAUGAUUAUUAUAAAAAAAAUAUUUCAAUUAAAAAUCAAUCAAUCCGUUUAAUUCACCUAGCCACGGUUGAAUUAAACCGAAUUACAUAGUAUUUAUUCACUCACUAAAAUAAACUGGAUUAAUCUGACUCUUUUUUAAAAAGACUGCUGUUAAGUCACCUGCAUUUACCCAGCAAAGAACGAACACCCAUCUGCUUUAGACACUAUUUUUUGUUCCAAAUACAGAAAUGAUUUCUUGUGGGUGUUUUUUCGUGAUGCAAUAUAAGCUAGUUUUUUUUUUUUUGGCAAGCUGUUAACUGUUAUGCAAAGCAGAAAACCAGACAUAACAUAGCGUUUUGGGUUGGAUUCAUGUAAAAUUGUAAACUAACCGCCAAAGUAUGGAACCAGACAAUCUCAUUCGUUCACUAAAAAAGCAGUGCCAACUGCACCAUUUUUUCAUACACUGAACCAAUUUGGUACAUUAAAUGACAAUUUAAUUGAAAAAUAUAUCUCCGUAUUUACAAUUCACAAGGAGGGAUAGACCAAAGAAACACUGUGUGACCCUUGCUCCCUAAGAAAAAGGACUCGCAAGCUUGCUAAUUUGCAUAUCUUGUGCACCAUGCCGUGUAAUUAAAAUCGGUUUUGCUCUCCAUUACUCUAACUCUAGGGGUAAAGGACGUUAAGAAAUUAUUAUAGAAGGUUUUUAUUGGAAACUUAAAUGUAAAUACAUUAGUAACAGUAAAUGUUACACUUUCCAAUAAAACUUUCUACUCUUAAUUCCUUGACCAUUUUCUUUAGGCAAUGGUUAGUAAAAAUUGAAUUAAAAUAAAAUUAUAAUUCCCUUUCAAUCUUAGGGAAUGUAGCAGUGAUGUAACCCCAGUUCAGGAAGAACUUUCAGCACAGCCACCAACGUGAAAAGAAGGGUUGCAAGCUGAAUACCUUAGUUAACCAUAUCUUCCCUCACGGCUUGAGCAGCCUCUGCGUCCAAUCUCUUCCAAGUUAACAGCCUCUUCGCUUCCAACUCUCUAGUCUUGGCUUCUUUCUCUGUGUACUGCCUUUCACACUCUUCAAACAAUUCGGUAUCCAUCUCCAGAAACAUCUUCCUCACAUUGGCAGUUAGCCCAAUCACUGCCCGGCUCCAGUGGCCUUUCAUGUUAUUUUCCAAAGCUUCAAAGAUUACUGGCAAUAUAACAUUUCGAUUCUGGGCUACUAAACUCAUAAUGUUCUCAUUGUUCCAAAAGUAAAGUGCUCGCUCGGCAACCUGCCAUGGAUAGAAUAAUUGUCAGAGAGCAAUCAAGAGAGAAUAAGAAACAUUUCCUUUACUACAACAUCAAAGGAUGAUAAUUAUCAUUUAUCAAAAGUUGAUAUUAUUAUAUUAUAACGUUAUAAUAUAUAAUAAAAUCUGACUACCACAAUGCAUUACCCAUUAAACUAGAUCCAAAUUCAAAAUGUCUUGUGACACAAUUUUCCAUGGCCGAGGUAUCUAAUCAUUUUACAUCUACAUAGCUUAGAUAUCAUAUUUAAAUAGCCUCACAGUGAGUGAGAAGGGAGAUUUCAAAUAUCAGCCAAAGUGAAGCAAAAAAUAGCAGACAAACUAUGCCAGUUUAUAGUUGGUUAUUUUUUCAAACAGACAAGAAAACGAGGCCAUCAAUAUUGUAGCUCAUGUCACAUUAGCCAAAAAAUUAUCUGCGUAUGCUCAAGGAAUCAAUGGAAGGAACUGUUACAUCAAAAAGUGUUGAGUAACUUCUAGCUAAAACAUUCAAUGCAUAUGAAUGUCUGUACAUUCAAUGCAUAUGAAUGUCUGUAACCUCCUUUUUUGUGUUAAGAAGGUCAGUAUAUAUAAGCUCUUAAGAUUAACCUCCAUACUUAUUUCCGGUAUUAAGCCUGGGAGAAUAAGAGGUCAUGGGACCUAAACCCUCGCAUCUCAAGGUGUCAUCUCAUCUCCCUAUAUUUGCGACGCAUUAGGGGGCUACGUGUUAUGGAUCCCUAAAUAAGCAACUUCUAUGGUAGGUGUAGGCAACUCGAACGUUAUCCUUCCCCUGAAUCCGAUUAAACAUGAAUAAGUGUCCAAAAUCAAGUGCCCAAUGUCUGCCAAAUACCAAUACGAGGGAGACAUGACGGUAUAUGAACAUUGGAAUCUAAAAAAAAAAGAACAAAUAGCAACAAUGACCAGACCGGACUGUUUUCUUAAUCUCCCCAUAAAUUGAUAAUGAUACGGUCUUUGUCUGUGUCUAUGUUUAUAUGUGAUUCUCAGUAACGAGGCCAUAAGCUUUUAAGCCAUCAAAUCGACUAUGGGAUUGGAACUGAACUGAACAUACUAAUUUUCGGCAUCAAGACUCGAGAGUGCUUAUCCCUCUCUUUUCUAUGAUAAUAUUCAUAUUGUUGAGAUCUCACACCCCAUAAAUGAUACAAUUACAGGUUUCUAUUCCUAGGCAUGAGGGGAUGAUGUUAUUGGGACACCUAUGUCUACGCUCCAAACAUCAAAUCCCAGAGGUGAAUAGGUGUAUUAAGAUUUCACAUCAAUUGGAGGCAUGACCAAUAAGGCUUAGACAACCCUUAGCUUAUAAGUAAGCUUUGUAGGACUGUGUAGUUGCAAACAUAAAUUCUAAGAUGCUAGAAUUUAUUCUAGAUCUAUUAUUAGGUCAUGCCUAUUUGUCUAUGCUCUAGGAUGUCUAUUCCUAGGCAUAACAUAAGGUAUUUUUAUUGGGUCACCUACAUUUGUUCAAACUCUAAAUGUCCAAUCCUAAGUAUAAUUGGGUGUAUUGAGAUAUUACAUUACUGGAGAUAUAUGAUCAAUGAAGUCAAGGUUUGAGAUAAGUUAGGCCCUGCACCCAAAAAUUAAGAUGCUCGUCUUAUAACGCUACCUGUAUUUCCAAACUCCAAAUGCUUAUACCUAGGCAUGAGGGAUUUGUCCAUAUUAACUGGAGACAUGACCAAUGUAGUCAUCAUAAAGCUUGGGCAAUACUUAUAGCCAAAUUUAUGAAGCUGAAAUAUGCAUUAAUUCCCAAUUCUAAGGCGUACUAUUUCUCUAGCCUCCAGCCACCCCCCCAAUCGCUUUUCUCACUAUAAAUGUAUGACUAUUUUACUUCCCCCCAAAUUUUCCUCCAAAUUAAAUAAUGCAAACCCAAAUGGCAGCAAUCACCAACUAAUAUACCUUCCAAGAAGUAACUUAUUUUAUCCUUUUCCUAUGCAAGGAUUGUUAAAGUAGAGAAAGAAAAUGCAUGAUAAGUUCCCAACCAAAGUUUCGGAAGGAAAGGGCAGUAGGCAAUGAUAAUUAUCCGAACAUCCAAGUAACCAUAUAAAACCCCAGUCUAGUAUAUAUAUGUUGUCCAGUGAAAGAAGAAAAGACGAAUAUCUCCCGAAGAGUUUAUCGGUUUAGAGUACAAGUAAUGAUAACAAAAGCAAACAAAAGCAAACAUUUAUCUGAAGCAAAGAACAUCGUAUCCAUAAAUACAGGGCAUAAGCUAUGAACCAUCCCCACAGAAUGCUACACCUUACAUAUGCAAACUUAAGCAUAAUUAAUUAAAAAAAGGCAGACCUGAAAAUGAGGGCUGUUAAGGCAGCGUCCAAUCUGCCUGAAAAGGGAGGCAAGGCACCGUAGAGAGUCAGUACACUGAGUUGCCUCAAGAACCACUUCUAGUUCUCCAAGAAAAAGAACUUCCUUUUGGCAAUUCGAGACUGGCCAGUACUUCAACAUCCCCUUGAUCACAGGAUCAGCCAGCCGGUUGUCUUUCUGAACAAACUGAACCACGCAAUAAGACAAUUGUUCGUGAUAAGAGGAAAUAGCUUUGGGCUUGUGAAGUGGAAUAAGAGUCCGAAUUAGAAACAGUUUAUGUUCCUCUUUCAUUGGUAACGCAAACCCAUUGAUAAUACUAGCCAGGAUCUCCAGCAACUCGAAAAUACCAUUGUGCCUCUGAGUUUCAAAUAUAAAGCGGUAGAAGACGUUGUUGAUGGCAUUCCUAAUGAAUGGCCUGUGCACCAUGUACUUGCCGUAAAUGCGGUGAAGAAUAGUCUUCAAAUACUCGCGCUCGCGCAUGUCCUCGGAAUCAAACAAGUCAAUGAGUUUCAUCACAAAGACAUGGUCAAUGUAGCGCUUCGAAGUCCUUAUAUCAGUCUCCGGUGAGACAACGUAACGCAAGAGGAUAUCAUACACGAGCUGCAAGUGCGGCCACGACGGGUCCAAAUGUCUGUCAUCUUCAUCGGGUUCCAAGUAUUCUGUGCCGCGAGGGGACGCGGGGAAACAACGGAAGAUGUUAACGGAAACCAUGUUAAUCAAGUCUUCUUGAUUUUCGCUGAAUCCGAAGGACCCGGAUUGGAUGAUUUCAAUGAGCUCCUCGAGUGCCUGGCGCUUUGUUUCCCUCUCGUUAACGGAGUCGACAGUGUCUGAGAAAUCGCACAGGAAGCAACAUCCUUGUAUUUUCCGGAGGAUCAGCGCCCGGCGCUCCGAUUCCUCGGCGUCUCGCAGUGGCGGAAGUGGCUCGAUUACGGUGGGAUCGGAAGGCGGAACCAAAAACGGAGGGUUUUCGGAGUCAGAGUUGGCGGCGGCGGAGGGGGUGGUGCGAGAGGCGUGUUUGACGACUACUUCAUAAAAUUGAAGUCCGCUUUCGGGGAAUUCCAAUUUGGAGCAUUUCUUGUGAGCGAGCUUUAUGAUCUUGUUGAACAUUUUUGGGGAAUGAAUGUUGGAACGAUGGAAAAAGGGGAAGAAAUUGGGAACGAAAACGGAAGCGGAAAUUGGAAUUGGCGAACCAGAAGCCCUAAUGAAGCGACUUCUGGGUUGGAUUGGGGGGGGAAACGGCGAAUAACCGCAAUGAAGCGGAAAACGACUCCGUCCAAAGCGUUCUUCACUCACAUCAAUCAAUAUAAUGCCCAAAAGGUGCAAAAUUGUAAAGCGCAAAGGAGGCGCCAAAUUUCGACGUUAGCCACGUGGAGGUUAUAGAUUAUGCCAAUAUGCCCAAAAUUAACAGACCAAAACAUUAGUUAAGAGCUUCAAAAUUCUUUAUUAAUAAGAGAAACCAAUAUUCCUAUUUUAUAUUACUAACGGUAACAUAGAUACGAGACUGCAUAUGUAUCUCUGUAUUUUUUUUUAUUAUUAUUAUAUUCAUAAUUUUUUAUAAAAAAUAAAAUAAUAGAAGGAGAUAAUAACUAAAUUAAAUGAUAAAAAUAAAUAAAAAUUAUACUCUUUAAGUGAAGAUAUGAAAAAAACAACUGUUUCACAUUUAAUAAACUAUUAUUUAGUUCAUUGAUAACCUACUCUAUAUUUAAAAUUUAAAACUACUUUUUACAAAAUAUCAAUAUAUUAGUAUUAAAAAUAAAAUAAAAAAGUAGUUUUUAAUUAAUUAUAAAAAUAAUUAGUUAUUUAGUAAAGACUUAAAAAAUAAAAAAUGACUGAGAUAUUUAAAAUAAAAUAUUAAUAAGAAUAAACUAAGAAAAAAAUUAUAUAAAAAUAAUAUUAAUAAAGAUAAAAUAAGAAGAAAUUUGUAUAAAAAACAGUAGUUAUAAUUGAGAAUUCCUAUUAUAGGUAUAGAAGAUAAUGCUAAAUAAAUUAUUUAGUAUUCUUUAGAUUCACUAGGUCUAUUUUUUUUUAAAGUAUAAUUGAAGUUCACCAAACCACUAAAAAAUAAUGUGCCACUGAUUAUUUAAAGUAUAUUAAGUUUGAUUUAUUUAUUGUUUAUGGUAUUUUUAGAAGUUUCGGACCUUCAUGCUCUGAUAUUAUUAUGGAUACAUAUAUAAUUAUAAUUUUAUUUAUUUAUUUUUGUAUUUAUUAUAAGAAGAUAUCAACAAAAAUUGUGAUCCUUUCUCGAGAGUUAAUUUUCUUGAUUCCUCCUCCCCUUAAUUUUGUUUUUCUUCCUUCGGAGAAAACAUGCAUUUAAACACUCAAUAUGAUUAAUAUACCCAUUAUCUUGGAAGAAAAAAUAUUGAAAUUUUGAUUGAAUAACAAAAUAUAAAAUGAAAGAAUCAUUACACCCAGCACUAGUUCUUUCUCAUCUAUUAUCCUUGUCAAGAAAAAGGAUGGCAUUUGGAGUGGUUCUCAACCAAAAUCACCAUCCUAUAGCAUUUUUCUCCAAAAAGAAAAAAUACAGAAUGCAGAAUCAAGUUGUAUAUACCAGAGAAUUUUAUGCAAUCUCAAAAGUUAUUGCUAAAUUUAGAUACUACGUAACUGGACACAAGUUUAUCAUCCAAAGUGACCAAUUGAAUUUGAAAAUCUUGGUUGAUCAGGUUAUUCAGACACUAGAACAACAAAUUGGCUUCACAAAUUGCCAAGAUAUGAUUUAUCAUUUGAAUAUAAACUUGGCAAAGAGAACAUAGUUGCAGACAUUGUUUUAACGCCCAUAGGUUGCUACUACCUAACCCCCUUCAACUAAAAUUCAACCUAUUUUCCAUUGUUUUAUGUUAAAACUUUGCAAGAGAGAUCAUACUCAACCUUGUAUUUCCUUUCCCAUGUGUAAGGGGGAUAGAACAGUUAUUCAACCUGUUGACGCGGUGCAAUUCAAAAUUAUGCGUAAGGGAGUUAAAGAUGUGUAACAACAUCUGAUACAGUAGAAAGGUCGAGACUUCAACCUCGAGGACAAUGUGAAUUUUAAUGGGAAUUGAUCCUUAGCCUAUUUCACUCCCUUAAUUUUGAAUUUCAGAGACACCAUCAAUUUUAGUGUUCCAGCCUGGAAUUAACACUGUCUACACCUCAUGUGAUUAUACGACUAUUUCCAACAUUAGUAGAGUAUAUCCUCAGCAUAACCAUCAACAAAAUAGGGGGGUUGGGGGAACACUGCAAUCUAUAUAGACUCGGAAAGGAAGGCAUUGUAAUCCAACAAUGCAUUCAAAUUCUAGUAAACAUUUCUCUAACAUAAUCAUGCAUGAAACUGAAGAAGGGAAUAUUCAUUCAUCAAAUCUGUUUAGUCUAAGGAGGAAAUCACGUUUUAGAAAAGAUUUAUACGGAUUUACAGACGAAACAAAGGUUUGCCAUUAGCUACAUUUCCAAAUGCCCGAACUCGAUUUCCUGCUCCGACCCAUCACGUUUUAGAAAGAAAGCAAUUACCAUCCACCUUUGUCAACCCCGUCAUUUUUCUUGCCCCAUGAACCUGCUGCACCUACAUAUGAUAAUCAUAUAGUCAAGUCUAUUGAAUUAAGUUGAAAAUAAAUAUCGUACUUGCAAAUUUAUAUUGGUAAGACGUCAGCUCAAUUCUGCUGUAAUUUCUAGUUUAACUUCUAAUUAAUAAUGAUUCGUAACUGAAUUAGAAUCAUUAAUUUACAUUGUAACUUUUAUUUUUCUUUCAAGCACUACCUCGGGUUUUUCUUUCUUUCUGAAUAAACAAGAAGGGGAGAAUAAUUGGGUGAAGUUAUAUUUGGUUUUCAUUAUUUCUUCCUUACCUUCUGCUGAUUCUUUCCAACUAGAAGAUUGACUAUUCUCUGCAGCACUACUAGACUUAAAAACUCCGUCACCAGUUUGAUUGUCCCAGCCCCUAGAAGUAGUGUUUGAACUAGAUCCCUUGUUCCAUCCACCGUCAUUAGCUCCACUUGCUGAGCUCCAGCUCUGCUUAUUUCCACCUUGGUUCCAGCUAGGACGCUCCUUAUCUGCAUCAUUCCCUUGGCUCCAGCUCUGCCUGUCCUUGUCCCCAGUAUCAUGGUUCCAAGCCUGAGAUCUAUUAUUAUUAGCCUCAUCACUUGCUGAACUCCAUCUCUGUUUACUUCCACCACCCUGGUUCCAGCUAGGAUACUCCUGAUCCGCAUUUCCCUGGCUCCAGCUCUUUCUUUUUUUGUCACCAGUAUCCUGAUUCCAAGCCUGGGAUCCAUUACUAUUACUCCAUCCUUCAACAUUAUCAGGCCCCUUCUUCCAGUCAGAGGACCCAUCCUCACCAGAAUCCCUCCUGUUGUUCCAACUACCAGAUUGAUCACUCCUUCCUCGACCACGGCCUCCACCUGAUCCCCACCUACCACCAAAACCUUCCCUGUCUGAUCUACCUCUACCACCAAAGCCCCCCGGUCUCCCCGGCCACCAAAGCCCCCACCCCCACGGUCUCCCCGGCCUCCAAAGCCCCCACCCCCACGGUCUCCCCGGCCUCCAAAGCCCCUACCCCACGGUCUCCCCGGCCACCAAAGCCCCCACCCCCACGGUCUCCUCUACCCCGAAAACCUCUACCUCUAAAGCCACCUCUGUCUGAUCCACCUCUACCCUGGUAACCACCUCUCCAGUUCCCACCACCAACUCCACCAGAAUUUUCAUUUGAACCUUCAUUUUCACCAUUGAACUGAUUAUCGCUUGAGCCUGCACUCCAGCUGCUAUUGCUUUUCCAACUGUUGUUUUGAUUGGCAUCACCUGAUCCAGAAUUCCAAUUACCUUUCUUGCCCCAGCUAGGAUUGUUAUUUCCAGGAUCAGGAUGCCCAGAACUCCAGUCAGAAUUCUUGCUUUCAUUCCCAGCACUUGGAAAGGAUUUAUUAGUGUUCCAGUUGUCAUUAUUUCCCCUGUUUGGAUUUUCAUUGAAAUUAUCAGAUCCAGAAUUCCAAUUGCUAUUUUUCGAAUCAGAAGCCAGGUUUCCACUGCUACCAGAAUUCCAAUUGUGUUUCAUGUCCAACUUGGAAUCUUGAUUUCCAGGCUCAGUAUGCCCAGAACUCCAGUGAGAAUUCCCACUGGUAGAUUUAUUUUCGUUUGAUUCAGAGUUCCAAUUGUUUUUCUGACCCCAACCAUUCCCUUGAUUUCCACCAGUACCACCAGAUACAGGACCGUCUAAAGUAUUUCCUGCAUUCCAACCACCUUGAUCUUUACCUUCUUCAUCUUUAUCAUGUGACGAAGAUAUUGAAGCAUUCCAAUUGCUUCCUGUUCGCCUACCAGAUGGCUCGCUCCCUUCCUUAUUUGGUUUAUUGCUCCAUCCAGCAUCCUUACUAGUAUUGAUAUCUGAAGAACCAGAAGGAUUUCCAACUUUGACUCCACUUGUUCCAGACUUCCACCCACUCCAACUAGAAUUGAGGUUUCCUUCAUCUGAUCCACUUUUAAAACCAUUGCCAUCACCCCAUCCAUUGGAUGAAGUUUCAUUAUUUGACUUUUGGACAUUGUUCCAACCAGAAGAUUCUUUUUCAGAAACCUUGGUUGUAUUCCAACUGCUAUUCUGAUUGUCAUCACCCACACUUCCAGUUUUAGGUUCUGCCUGACCCCAUCCAGUAGAUGAAGUUUCAUUAUUUGACUUUUGGACAUUGUUCCAACCAGAAGAUUCUUUUCCAGAAACCUUGGUUGUAUUCCAACUGCUAUUUUGAUUGUCAUCACCCACACUUCCAGUUUUAGGUUCUGCCUGACCCCAGCUGCCUCCAACAUUUCCCCAGCAGCCACCAGACUGUUCUGGAUCAGAAGCAACUCCAGUCUUCUCCACUGCAGCAACCCAUGUGGAGUUCUGGUUUGGAUUACUUUUAGUUUCCCAAGCAGAAUCUUCUGCACCUACACAUUACAACAGCAAUGAGGCAAAUGAUAAACGAAGUAGUUAAACUAGAAGUGAAAACAUACCAAACAUUUCCGUACUACAACUUUUACCUUUGGAACUGAAAGGAUUUAAGGAAGACUCUGGCUUCUGUAAAAUCAAUUGGAUAUAAAUGAGUACAUGCAAGUAUUAUACCAAGAGUGGUUAGAUUAUCCACAGGCAUGAGAGGAUUAUAGGAGAGAUCGAAAUGGGGAAAAAACACGCAUAAAGUGUGUUAUGCAACACAUACCAAUAAGCUUGGAGUAGAAUGAUUAGACCAUGCGUCCCUGAAAAAUGUUAUCACAAGACAAAACAGUAACUAACCCAGUUGAGAAUAAAACUAAUCAUGAAUAAGAAAACUGGAUAAACAAUACAAAAUGACAUCAUGGAGACUUGGUACUUUGCAGUGCCUAUGUUUGACAUCUAGUAAUAUGUGAUGUUCCAUGGAGUAUGUGUUUGGUUCUCACCCCUUGAUAUAUACCUUUCGAGUGUGGGUUCCCCUAGUUCUUGGCUGUUUAUUAACUGGUAUCAAACUAAUUGCCAAUGCCUUGUAAAGAACUAUCAAUAGAGGGUUUUGACCAUUAGAGAAUUCGGACUAACGAGGGAGUUGAGAGGAGUGUUACUAAACAAGUUGUUGUGGAGUGAUGCUUGUCAAACCAUCACCUCUGAAGAGUGGUAAUAUGAUAUAGACUUGGGUAGUAAAGUACUAAGGUAGUAUGAGGUGCCUAAGUCUUAAAUCAAGUAGUAUGAGACGUGCAGCUAAAAACUGACGUGUUUGGUUAUCGGCCUUUAAUUUUGAGGGUGGGUUCCCUAAAUAUUUGAGUGUUUAUCAUAUAAAUAAAGUAACACACUCUAAUCCCUAAAUAUAUCAAUUACAUACGCAUUUUGAAAUAGCAACAUUCCAUAUCAUUUAGAAAAUAGAAUGUUGACAUAUAAAGCUGGAACAACAACCACAUCUAGAUAAAUCGGCUAUGCUUUUGGGUUUUAAUACUUAAAACAGUUAUACUUGCAUAAAAGUCAAUUCACCAUUAUUCAUAAUUAUUUGGCAUAGAUAUGCCUUUGUUCCAUCCUUGUCUGCAUCAAUUUUCCGUAGCCAUGAGUUAACCCAUCCCAAUUUCCACAGAUUUCUACAUUACUGAGCAAUAUCUGGACAUUACUAGAAUACCACUAUUGAUGACUAAAUUCAUCAUGCAAAAUUAGCAAGGAUAUAUAUUAGGCGAACAUAAUAUUGCCUAUAAGCAGAUGACUAAUAUCACUAUGAAAUAUACCUUUCAGAUGAUGCCCCAGCAGCAUUCCAUCCACCACCGCCAGUGGAAGUUCCCGCUCCAUUCAGCCAACCUUUCCAAGCGUCAAGAUUAAUGUCUCAAUAGAACAUCAAGGCCAAACAGAGAACAGGGAAGAUAUCUAUACGCAUGCUAAUUGAUGCUAUAAUCCAUUUAAUUGGGAUUUUAUUUAUCUCUUUAAAGGAUUAAAAAGUAGAGAAUAAGGUAUUCUGACCUCCAGAGCUUCCUUCACUACCCAGCAGAUCAAAUGGCUUAGAAGAACUUGAAUCUGGAUCACCACUGAUAUAAAAAAACAGUGAGAAACUAAGGACAAUAUUCACGCACAAUCGUAGCAAAUCAUAAGUAAUUGUGGCAUACAAAAGUUAAUGUAAAUGUCAGAAAUACCUUGAUGAAAUGGCAGUACUCCUUCCCUGAACCUCAGAAAGAUGCUCACAUUUAACUGUGAAAAGUAUUUUUUGUACAAAUUGCUCUAAAUAAUUAUAUAACAUAUCAAAAAGAAAAUUACACAAGAAAGAGUUCACCGUCAUAAACAAACCUGUAAGAACCUUCUGCUGUGAAUCAAGUUUCACAGUUACAUCAGUGCGACGCAAGGCAAUGACACGGCAAAGGUAUCCCUUCAAAGGACCUAUCCUAAUUCUCAAGGUCUGACCAAUAUUAAACAUGUUAUUGUUGUCCCCACGGUUAACUGCAUGCACAAUUAUUGAAUUGAGAAAAUUAAUAAAUGCAUAUAUCCACAGCUAAAAUAGUUUUUAAGGAGUCAUGUAUCUUUACAUUCACGAUUAUUUUCUCUUGCUUGCCAUGGUUUUUUGGGUGACAAUGGAGAUCUUGGUGAUGAUGGUUGGUCUUCAAAGAAUAAAGGACCCGGUUCACUUUCCUGAGUGUGAAGCAGCAUUCAAAACAUAGAAACUCAGAUGAAACCAUUGAACAGUUUGUAACAUAGCAGGAUACUGGACAUAUUUCAAACCUUUCCACUGAAAUCACCAACAUCAAGCUUGACCUUCUCACACAUACUAGAUUUACAUGUGACAUAACCUCCAUUUUCUUCCUCAUUUCCAUCAUGUAAAAAGACAAUUCCUCUAUAAAUGUGCUUAACAAUGCCUUGUUUACCCUACAAAAAAGAAUAGUUUUAAAAGUAUGAUAUGAGGAUGAAAAACCCAGAUAUAUCACAAUUAGAAAUCUUCACAUUCAGAAAUAUGAAUCACACCUUUGAUAGACCGUCAAGAACCCUGACAGUAUCACUAACCAAUAUAGUCUUACUGUGCUGAUCAAGGGCAGUGAGUUUCAAAUCAAAUAGCCCACUCUUUAUUUCAUUUCGUUCAAUACUUACAGCAACAGGUCCAUCUGAACUCUCUUUUAGAAUCUAUACAAGACAGGCAAAUUAGAAAAGUACUUGUAAAAAAUAACAGGCUCUCAAUCAAAAAGCUUAGAACAAAUGACAUUGCAUAAGCUGAAUGCUAUACCUUGUAAAUAUCAUCUUUAUCCAUGCCUACUAUUACACCAAAGUCCUUCUUCCUGAAAAAUGGAAAAGAGGUUCUUCAAGAAGACAUGUUAAAAAAUGUGCAGGCAUGCGAAUGUGUGUGUAUCUGCAUGCAUCAUUUAAGUGCAUUUUGUGUGUGUGACAAAGAGAAAUAGUUCUCCCAAUACCAUGAAUGUACUGCAAUGGGAAAUAUUGGUCAAGAAUGAGGACACAUGAGCAAGUAUGUAGUACAUGUGGGUGCAUCUGCAUGUCUUGUGUACAAACAUGUUUGUAUGAAAGUGUGGAUUGGGCAAGUGCAUGCAAGUACGAUAAAAAAGUAAUUCAUAUGUGUGAAUGUUAGCAAGGUAAAACAAGGACUUACCCGAAACAUACUAAAUCAUAAAGCUCAAAAUCAUUUCCCACACCCGAACCAGAUGAACUUUCUCCUUUCCCACCUCCCUUGCUGGGUCUUAUUACACGUUUUUUCUUCUUAUCACCGUAAAGUUGAGCAAGCCACUCUAAAUCAUUGGAUUCAUUGUUUUCAGAAGACCCAAAUUUUAACAGCUCCUCUUCUGUCGGCACAACACCCCAUAAACUUAAUGAAUCCGGAGAAACUUUCUUGUAUACAUAUCCAUCCUUGAGCAUCAAGCCAUCAAGAACCUCAAAAACCUUGCCCGUUUCACGGUCACGCUUGAACUGCAUGAGUGGUCGGAACUCCCUGCAAAGUUAUUGAAAAAUAAUCACAUCAUAAAAACUAUCCAGUAAAAAAAUUAACAAGAUAUAGGAAUAUGUAUUAUUUACUCGAGUUCACUCGAGCUGAUUAAUCUAGGGGCUGGUACAGCAAGUUUUUGGCGACUAUAUCCUCCACCCUGUAACAUGAGAGAAGAAAUGUAUCAACAAUCUGCUCACUCCGUAGCUUUAUUUGGGUUGCAAGUAAAAUAAAGGAGAAAUAAAUAGGAAAGAUAGAAAUAAAUAAAAUAGAAAAAGGUUUUGUUUGAACAGACAGAAAUAAGAAGGUAAAAUGUAAAAAAAAAAAUCUUGUUUCAAUGAGUGGAAGUGUAUGUUAAAGAUAAAUAAAUAUGUCUAAUUAAAAAUUAAGUUUAACUUAAAAAUAAUAUUUUAACAGCAUCUCUCGUGACACAAUAAAUACAUUACCAGCAGAUAUCAUAUCAUAUAUAUAGCAACUAAAAAAAACAAGCAUAAUCAAAGUUAAUUAAUGAAUUGCCUGGAAAAAAAAAAAGGUAGCUUAUCAAGUGGACACAUGUCUCCUUACAAAUUUGGCAGCCAAAGCUUGCAGAUCAAUUCUCGGAAUAAGCUUAACUGUAACUUUUUUCCGGGAAUUAUUUACAGCCACCACCUGAAAAAGCGUAAUAGAUAAGAGGAAUAAGCAUUUCACAAGUUGGAUAACAAAAUAAAACAAAAAACAUUCCUUGUGCUCAUGUAGUACCUGCGCUAAAUCCCCUUUGUAAUUACCACCUUUUAUUCGAGCCCACAUACCCUCAGAAAUUUCAGGGGUUCUAUUUCUAACAGAAAACAGAUGAUAGACCUCACUAUUUGGUACAAGUGCUACUCGAGUAACAUAGAUUCCGGGAAUCCCUUGACAAGCCUGAAACCAUGCAUUAAUAACAAAUGUGAAUAGAUUUGGCGGGUGGUAGAAAUGUUUCACUUGAAAAUGCUUUCAACAUGGCCCUAGAAAACGGUCGUAGACAACAAUUUCAAUCACAUGAUCAAGGUUUUUAUAUAGGCCACCAAAAUUUCGGCCACAUUUGCCAGCUGACACCGCAAUUUAAAACCAAUCAAAUUAAACCGAACAAAAAUACCCAGUACUGAGGUUACCUCAUUUAUAUCAUACUGUCUUUCAGCCUCAAUAUAUACACAACCUUUCAUAUGAUCUACGGCAAAUGCAGAUUGUAUCUUCAAGACAGUACCCAAUGAAAAUAAGUCAGCAAACUUUUGCAUCAGACACAACGCUGAAAGCCUCUCCCGGCCAACCUGCAGCAAAAAGGGAAAAACAUGGCAAAGCAUAAACUGAGAAAUUUAAAAGCAACACUGGGAAAUAGUUAGCAAAGUCAUAGAAUCGUGUUCCAGGUAUCAUACAGUGCAUUUGACUUUCCAGAUGUUUGGCAUCAGUUCCAAGACAGCAUCAUGAAUAGAAUUUGGGUUGUUCCCUUUGUCAUCAAACUCAUCAGCAUAUUUGAUAAACCUAGAUGGAUUUGCGUAGCGCUCCUCAAAUAUUCUAUCAAACUCUUCUUCAUCCACCAAUUCCUCUUUAGGAAUACGCGGGAAACUACUCUGGCCCUUAGCAGGCUCGCUCAUUCUUCUCGGAGAGGCAUUAAAAUCCUCAUCAGAAAAAUCUGUUACAAAAAAUUAGAAGGUGUACGGUACCACGAGAAAUUCUAAAAUUCUAACUACAAACGAUGACACCAAAACCAUAAAACGAGGCAGGACACAAGCAUUUCUCAUGAAUGAAGCCACUAAAAGCAGUAUCGACACGUCUAGAACAAAUAAACACAUGAAAUUAAACUAAACACAGAAAUGAGGCCGAAACCCUAACAAUUUUCGUGAGAGAGGAACAAACGAUGAAAGGUAAGAGCAUGAGAGAGAGAAAAGGGCAUUCGAUUAUGUACCGUCCCCGAAAUCACUGUCGUCGCUGAAAUCGCUCUCCUCGCUGUCAUCAACCUCAGCGGCGUCUUCGAAAAACUCAAUGCCUCUAGUCUUGAGGCGGCCACCGGUCUUGUCAUCUUGGAAGCCGCCCUUGCGCUUGCCGGCCGAAGCUUUUCCGGCGACCUCCUUGCCUUUUCCUUUGCCCUUGUUCGUCAUUUCUACCGAAAAUGCUGAGACUAAUGCAAACUUUGCAUGCUGGGAUAAAUAGAGAGAGAGAGAGAGAGAGAGGAAGAAGAAGUGAGCAAGUAAAGUGUGCUGUGAUCACGUGAGAGUGGGAAAUGAUUUUAUAUCUAUAUUUUUAUUUUAUAAAUAUAAAUUAAAUUAUAACAUAAAUAUGAAGGUACAUAUUACAUAUCAUUAAAAAAAAUACCGUAAAGAAAAUAAUAUAAAAAUUAUUAAUAUAAUAACAAUAUUUUAUAAAUAAUAUACCUGUAUUUCUUUGGCCCGUAACACUAGUUUAAAGGAUUCAUGAUUUUAUUAUUGGAAGAGUCAGAAAACUGUGAUGAACUGUGAGAUUAGUAAAUGCACCUGGUGCAGUUUUCUCUCCUCAAAGAAGGAAACCACCUUCCAAAAUUAGGAUUUUUUUGCUUUUCGCACCACGUUUUUCUUCCUGCACCUCACUUAUUUCCAAAUAUGGUUUCCAAAAUAUUUUACGAAUUAUCCAAUUUAAAAGUCUUUUAACCUAAGUAAUCCUAAAUAUUAAUUUAAGUUUGAUGUAGUUAUGAAAUGCGUUGUAAAAAGAAUAAUUAUAAUCUUUCAGAUCAUAUAAUUCACAUAAACUAGUUGUUAUAUACGUCAGUCAACAUUAAGUUUGAGCUUACUCAGAUAUCAUUCUACUUGGUAUUUCGGUUUAUUAUCUAAAGAAUAUGGUUGAUCCAUUGAGCCCCCAACCACUUAUAUUGAGUGACCAUGAGGUAACAUCAAAACAUAAUCUUAAUUAAAAGUCUUGAUCAAUAAUUAGACUGCUAAAUAUAUCAUGAUUACAAUAUUAACAUAUAUAUUGGGCCUGAAUAAGACCCCAACAACAAACUCACCACAAAAUGGUAUUAAUAGAUGAUUUUGAAAAUUCGAUAACAUUCGUAUCUUUACUUGAGGUUUUUUAGUAUCUUCAUGUAUACAUCCCACAUACACUUAUUAAUCAUCAUAAAGGCCGAGAAACUAAAGAGAUCACGAAAAUCAAAUAUGAGAAUUGAAAGGAAAAAAAAAACAAGUUAUGCACUAAAGAGUAAUUGCAUUCGAACACACUUUUGUGUAAAAACAUCUCAUGUUUGUGUUCAAAUUUUCACAAGGGAAAAUGAGUGGGUCAUGACAUAUCAAUUUUUUUUAUAAUGAAAGAUGAUUUAAGAUUUAGGUUUUGGAUAAAAAUGGUUGGCAAAAGAUGAAAAUGAGUUAUCCAAAAGAAUAAUGGUUUUGGGAUUGUUUUAGGGAAAGAUGGAAAACACCUUUGAAGUGGCAAAAGUGAUAAGGCUAAUUCUCCUUCCACGAGAUCGAGAUCAAUUGUGAUAUGCACCCAACACCUACAAAAAUGUUUAUUUUACCUUUAAUCUUUUAGAUAUCUACCUUCACAACAUAAAUAAGACAGUUCUAAAUAUGUAAAUUCAGAAUUGAGAUGUAUCUUACAAAUAUGACCAUCCACAACACAUAAAUGUCUUUCUGAAUGUUAAAAUCCAAACAAAAAACAACAUGGCAAUUUGGAGUUUUAAAGAAAAUUAUGGGUGAAAAUCACAAUUUAACUUGUGUUGGUAGGAGAAUUAGCAAGUGAUAGUAUUAGAUUGGUAGAGUUGCUUGAUGGGAGCCAAAAAAAUCAUCUGGAGCUUCCCUUAUUGAGCUGGUAAAGUACUUAUUGUCCAAUUUGACUUUUAGUUUUUUUUUUCCUUGUUUGCAUGCAAGCAUAAAUGAAGUGAAAUGUCUAAAACAGAUCUUCCACAUCAAAAACAAUAUGCGGCUCCCGUAGGAAACAAAAUUUAAUUUAAAAUUUUUGGAUAUAAAAAAUUGAAUCAAUCAAUCUAAAAAUAAAAAUUAUUAAUUCUGAAUUGUUAAAUGUUAAACUGAAAUUUAUAUUUUCGAACUAAGUGUUUUACAAAUGAUUUACUAAUUUUUUGAUUCAUAACUGAAAAAUAUAAAAAUAUAUAUAUAAAUUGUAGAAUCCAAAAUUUAUUAUGAUUUAACUAAAAUUUCACUAAAAAUGUUAUAUUUUGCCUUCUAAAACCCUGUAAUCCAUAAUUUCAUUGGAACUUGAAUUAUUAUUUUUGGAAUACUCUAUCCAAAAUACUUUCAACUUGUUCAAUCUAGGAAACUUGCUUCAAAAAUCACAAUUGUUUUGAAAUAGAAAUGAAAUGAUAAAAUUAUCAUUUUAAAAUAAAUAAAGUGCAAAAAGAAAUCAUGAAAAUGUAAAAAGCAAAAGUCUCUAAAUAUUUUGAAAAUUCUGGGCCGGCCUAACAAAAUAAAGACAGUUAUGUUAAAUUUUUUUUUUCUUUCUGCACCUCCAUAAAUCUUUCAAUUUUAAAAUUACCCUUGGACAAAAAAUGCAAGAUUUUGUUUAUUUAUUUAUUUUUUAAAUGUAUAAUCUAUAAACCUUUUGAACUCUAAAAUUUGAAAUACAAUUCAUUAUUAUAAAUUUUAGACUUUAGAAAUUAUUUCCUGAAUUUAAAAAUAUAUUCCGAAUUCUAGAAUUCAUAAUAUAAAACUGUAUUCUAAAUUAUAAGUUAAGAAAAUACCUUAUAAACUUUAAAAUUUAAAAUAUAAUUUUAUAAUUCAAAUUUUAAAGUUUAAAAUUUUAGAAUACGAAAAAAGGGGGAAAAGGGGUGUCAAUAAAUAAAUAAGUUGCAAAAAUAAAUCAUGAAAAUGUAAAAAACAAAAUUUCUGAAGGAAUUGGGCCGGCGUAAUAAAAUAAGGACAUAUUUAUAUUAAAGGUUUGAAUAAAUAAAUUGGAAUUGCAUAGUCAGGCAAAAUCAAAAGUAUAAUAAUACAAGUAAUUUAUUUUUUUUAAACCAAAAAAAAGUAUUACUUUUUUAUUGUUAGAAAUUAUUUUCUUCCAAGUCAAAACUAAUAAAACAAAUUAUUAAGUCAUCUUAAUGCAAUCAUUUCCGGUUAAUACAAACUAUUUAAAAUUAACUAUUUCUAUUAUGGAUACUAUGUUUACAUGUAUUUAAAUGCUGUGAUUGUAUAAUUAAUCACUUUUAACUACAUUUAUAGUAAAUAAUAUUUUUUAAACAAUACAUUUAGUCAUUUUAAAAAAACAGGUUUAAGUACAUGAUACUGUUGUAAAGUAUUGAAGUGAUUAAUUUGACUACUUAAAUGAAAUAUUAUCUUACAAGUUUAACUAAAUUUGUCCAAUAAUAUUAUUCACUACAAAAACAAAUAUGAUGAUUAAAACUACAAAUUAUAGUAGUUUUAAAAACAAUUUCAAAAAAAAUAUUAUAAAUAAAAUAAUUGUUAUAUUAUAUUUACACAUAUCAAAAGCAAUUUAUGACAAAUAUAUUUUAAAUGCUGGUAAAUUUGCCAAAAAAAUAUUACUUGUUGAAAAUCGUUACAAGGUACAUAUUUUUUUUUAUUAGUGUUUUUACGGUUUAAAAUGAUAAUAUUUUUUUUAUAAUUAAAUAUCAUAUUUUGACAAUUAAAAAUCAUCAUAUAUAUGGAAGGUUUAAAAACUACCAAAAAUUGCUUAAUUUUUUUUUUAAAUAAAAUAUGUUAAAAUUUUCAAAAUAAUAUUUUUUCUUUAUAAUCAAUAAUUCAAAACCCCAAAAUUAUUUUAUUUAAAAAAUAUAAUUUAAUAAUAGUAAUAAUAAUAAAUUUAUAAUAUUAAAAUAAUUGAUAGUCUAAAUGCAUAUCAAAAUAAUAUUUUUUUAAGAUAACAUGUAACACCGCUUAACUUUUUUAUAAUAUUAAAAAAGUUAAUUUGAUUACUUUACAUUCGAAGAUUUGAUUUAAUACAUUAUUCAAAUAAAUACAAAGUACAUACGAAGACAAUAAUGGAUAAUCUGUCAGUAACAACGUAGGCAUUUUCGAUUAAAAGCCAAAAUUCUCCUCACCAAGAAAAUUUAAACCGCCUAACAUAAUGUAACCGCUUCAAUAUUAUAAAAAUAAAUUCUUUUGAAUUGGUUCAAACUACUUGUUACCUUUCUUUUAUAUCAAGAAACUCAAAUAAAUCUUUUAAAAGAAAUUAAUUUGUAAAUUAUAAAUAAUUACGAAAUUAUAAAGUUCUAUAUUUGAUUAAAAUUAUGCAACUUAAAUGUUUAAAUCAAUUUUCUUAAAUUUAAUGUUAUGUGAUUAUUGAUGAUAAUUUCUAAUUGUGUUAAAAGUAUAAAUUGUUGUAUGAUGAAAUGACUUUGAUGAAUGAAAUGAAAAGUGAAUCACUUAGAAACUAAUAAGUGUGUUUUAUAAAAUGGACUAUUCUCACUCUAUGGAUAUCUUAGAAUCACAUAGACAAAAAAAUAUCAAGUGAUGAAAGUCGAAUGAGGUUCAAAUGACUGAACCUGAGAUUUAAAAUAACUUAUUAGAGCAAAUCGUAGAGAUUUACUAGUGUCAUACGAUGAUGAAUUUCAUGAAGAAAAUACUAUGUUGUGAGGAGUACAUGGUAAUAUAUGUGCAGGUCUUUGAGCACUAAUUUCAAUACAUGUUUUGUGUGUGUGAAUUUCUAACAUGAGUGAUGUGAAACAUGAAAUAUUUGACAGUUAGUUGUUUAGUAUAUUUGGAAUAAAUGAAGUGUGAUUAUAAAUGUGACUCUCAUGGGAUGAUUCAAAUAUGUUUAUUCAAAGUUUUAAAAAAUUACUAGUUUACCAUUUGUUCUUUGUUGAUGUUGAUUUUUUAAAGAUUUACGAUGAUAUUACACUUGAGUAAAUGAUGUUAAAGAUUUUGAUACAUCAUAAUGAAGGUGAUAAAUUUAUAUUUCAAUUUCUUUUGAUGUUUUGUGUGAUGGUGAAAUUAGUUGGAAAUUCUUUUAUAAAGGAAUAUGAUUUUAUGAUAUAAUAACAUAGUUAUGUUAACUUUAUUUAUAUAUUAAAUAUAAUGAAAUAUAAAUUUGAAUAAGGUAAGGAGAUUUUAGAUAACCAUUGUUAUGAACAAUGAUUUUUUUGUGACAAGUUCAACUUUCUCUUAAAAGUAAUUAAACUAAAAAAUUAUAUAAACAAGCUAAUUUGACAAAACAUUUAACUAAAUAUAUUUCAAUAAAAACUAAGAAGUAAUAGAAUAUCUUCUUAAAUAUUAAUUUAAACUAAAAGAAAUAUAUAAACAAGCUAAUUUGACAACAUAUUUAGCUAAAUAUAUUUCAAUAAAAAUUAAGAAGUAAUAGAAUCUCUUCUUAAAUAUUAAUUAAAUUUCUCUAUAAUAGGUUCUAUUACAUAUUCCUUUUCAAUUGAAUAUUUCUAACAAAAUAUUAAUGUUAAAAUAAUGUAUCAAGUCAAAAAAUUCUUAAUAUAUACAUAAAUUUAAACACAUAUUUUAAGAGUGUAAUUUUCUUUUAAGAAUGACAAAAAUGUAAUAAUCAGAAACUAGAAGUUCUCACCAUGUCACUCAUAAUCGCUUGUUGUUAUUGAUGAGAAUACACAACACGGAAUUUUGGAUAAAACAAAAAUAGUCACUUUUAAAAGGGAAAAACAUCCAAAUUAUAUUCAUUAUUACAACACAACAACUUUUACAACACAACAAUAAAAAAUCAUCAAUAAUAUAUAAAGUAUAACAUUGAUCUUUCAUACCAGAGACUGGUUUCAAUUUAAUUUAUACUGUUGUAUUAAAUAUAGUUUAAAUCUUCAUAAAUUUAAAUUUUUUUAAUUAAAAAAUAUUUGUUUUGUGUAGUUUGAGUACUUCGUAAUCUGAAAGUUUUGAACAUUUAUUUUGCCAUGUUAAAGCAAGUAGUGAGCGUAGCCAGAAGAAUGAAGAGGUAUUUUUGAUUGAAGAAAGUGGUAGGUGUACGUACUUAUACGCAGCCAACAUUAAUUACAUUUUAAUUUUCACUCCUGAAAUUUAUCAGUAGAAGAAAAUAGAUAGAGAAAAAGAAGUGGUCCCAACCCUAUUUUAAAUCUAUCUAUAUCUUUUACCACUUCUGUUUCCAAUCACACAAAAAAUAAACUUCACUAACUUAUUUCUUUUGCCAUCCAAUCGUGUGGCUGGGAAUUCAUCAGUAUCAGUGACGUGUAACCAUGCUCUCCAAAGUUCACUCUACUACGGCUUCUCGUCCUCUCUCGCCGCCGCUUUCAGCCACCUUCAUCUCGGUGACGCUGCCGGUUUCCUCAGCUUGCUCACGGUACCUCUUGUAUAUAUCACCUUUGUAGAACUUAACAGUCCUAGCCACCAGAAUGAGUGAAAUCAUGGCACCGAAAACGGUGGCGGCGGUAAUAAUAAUGAAAGACAUCUUGAAACAACUGGGCCCAGUACAAUUCAAUUCCUGCCCACCAUUUCUUGAGAUCCCCGCCGCUGCAAGUUGCUUCAGAGCCUCUUUGUCAUACAAGUGUCCGGCGACCCUCACGUUCAGAAUGUAAAGCCCAAUUGGGCUUGCGGCGCCGCCAAAGUUGUACAACGUUGAAUAGUACUUGAGCCCGAAGAGCUCCGAAAUUAUGGCGAACAGAAGGGGCCAUUGCGCGCCAAAGCAGAACCCGAUGAUCACCGACGACAAGUAGAGCCCGUUGGGCACGUCGAACGCUAUGAGAAGGUGACCGACGCAGGACAGUAGCAGGGUUAGCGUGAGCAUGAGUGGUCGAGGGAAGUGGUACUUUUGCAGAAAGUGUUCCGAGACAAACCCAGAAAAAACCCGUCCCAUGUAAUUCCAAAUGCUAACCAACGACACAAACGUGCUUAUGCUAGCCUUGGAGUACCCUAGCGAGGUCCCAAUCUGACCAAGGUUAUCAAUUGCGGUCAAAGUGCCUCCAACGCCACACGUGCCAGCGAAGAACAGAAGUAUCAUGUCGCAGCUGAAUAGUGCUUGGAGUAUAGUAUAGUCCUCGCCUCUAGCCGGUGGAGUAAACACUUUCUGCCACCAUCUGGUCUCUUCAAUCUUUGAAACAGAAUCACCGUUUGCUGACUCUGGUAAUGGUAACUCUCUUUCAGCUGCUAUCUUCACCGGGUUUGGGUCAAUGAACGCUAGCUUCUGAGUCUCCCUGAUUUUAAACUGUUCAUCGAAAACAACUGCGAGAGGGAGGAAGAGCAAGAGAAGCACAACGCCAGCGCUUACGCCGUACUCACUUUGCGAGAAAGAGAGUUUCUUCUGAAGUAUGAUCAUGAGCAAGAGGAACCCAGCGAGGCCAAGUGAGAUGUACAAGAACUUGUAGAAGACGCUGAGCUCGUUGGGCUGUCGAACGGGCUUCAUGUAGCGAAUGGUUCGAAGGAAAGCGAAGGAGAUAGCCGCUGGGAGCCAUGCUAUGAGCAGAAUCAAGGACCUGGAGUCGUCGUAGUAGAAGGCGUAGUAGAGCUGCGUGAUGAUGGCUCCACUGAGACCCACGUAGCCUUUGAGGAUGCCCAACACCACGCCACGGCUCUCGGGGAAGUUCUUGACGCAGGUGACGAGGGAGCCGGUGUUGGCGAAGGACUGAGAGUUGGCGCCGAUGCAGAUGUAGAGGCACAUGUGCCACACAUGCGGUUUGGGUAUUUUCUUGGUGACCGCGAGCCAUAUCAUGAAGUAGCCGAAGAAGUUGAGGACGGAACCCAUGACCAGGACCACCCACGGCGGAGUGAUCUCGUUUAUGAGGCCGGAGAGGAUGCCGACAUUGCCCCCGAGGUCUUUGAAGAAGCUCAGGAGGUUGAGGGUCGUUUGGUCGUAGGCCAGGGCGUAUUUGAUGUCGCCGGAAUACAGGCUGAACAUGUAGGUGGCGCCGGCAGCCGCCAUUAUAAGGAAGGAGGCAAACACCACAAACCACCGUCCGGUGAUGACUUGAACGAGGUGGCCAUUGGUGUUAACCAUAUCCCCCCCUGCAACUGCCAUGUUUGUCAGCCCCUGAAUUUGCGAUGUUGCAGGUUUUAUUUUAACUUUGAAGAUGUGAGCGCUGCAUAUAUAUAUAUAUAUGAUUAUAAUAAUAUAAAUAUUUAAAUUAAUAAAAUAUUUCUUAGAUAUUAUAUUAUUUUACUAUUAUAAUAAACUUUAUAAUAUAUAUAUAUAUAUAUAUGACCUUACAGUGAGGGUUUCCUUACUGCUGUGUGAACAAUGAGAAAACAGAGAGAGAGGAUACAUGAUAAGACCUAUCACUGAACAUCAAAGAAUGGACACGUGUUUUACUAUUGGAGAAAAAUACUUUUUUUUUGACUUUUUUUUGUUAUGAAUAGUACAUUUAAAUUCAUUUUCAUUGAAAUAUUUUUUAAAUUAGUUUUUUUUAAUGAACUUACUAGUUUUUAUUUGUUUAAAAAUGUAUUUAUGUUUUUAAAUAUUAAAUAAACCGAUUUGAGGAUUGAAUUUAAUCGUAAUCUAAACUUGUAUAUGGAAACGACGGUCUUCAGAGGUAAGUCAACGGGGGACCAUGUUGUGUCCUGCAAGUGUAUGGGGAUGGUGGGACCCGCACACGCUUUCUAAAAUUUAUAAUAUUCUAUUUUUGAAUUUUAUUUAUUCAAUUUUACUAAUUUCAGUUUUUAGCUUUUUCUGCAAAAUUUUACUUUUUCUACUCUCUUUUUUCCUUCUCCUUAUCUCAUGAGACAUAUGGAAGUCUUUAAAAAAGGAUAAACAAUUAUAAUAAUAUUUUUAAUUAAAACAACAAAAUAAAUAGAAUUAAAAUAAUAAUUUAUUGAUCUAUAGAGUGUAUGUAUUUUAUUGUGUGAGGUGUUAAAUAUCACCAUCCUUGAAAAAUCAAAGAUAUUUGAACUGAGACUAAUUGAAACUUUCUUCAAAAUAUUAUUAGAAAAAACAAACUUAACUCAAUUCAAUCAAUUUCUAAUUGAUCAAAGGCAACAUAUCAGAAACAUGUCAUAUGCUGCUACAACUAUUUUUUGUUGCCAAACAAUAACUAUAGACCUUAAACUCUACAAAGUGAUUUACUAAAUUUGUGAUAAAACUCUAGUUAAAUACAACGUACGUAAGUCACCGUAGAAAUACCAGCAAUCCAUGUAUCUAACCAAGUCACAUACCUAAUUAGUCAAACACAUAAUCAAAUCCACACUUCUCGUCAUUAAGAACUCAACAAAACCACCUUCACAACCUACCAUAAAUAUGUAUAAACACGUUAUGAAUAUACUUAGUGUUAGACUUGUGAUCAAAUGCAAGGAAAACUACGAAUUCGCAUUAAUUUUUCAUAUACAACUAUUUGAGAAUAUGAUUAUAAUAUGAUAAUAACAAUAACACCUAAAUUAGUUAGUAACACUUUAAGAAAUAAUCAAGUAAAUAAUUAUCAAAAUUGCCGUAUAACUCAUAUUGAUGGUAGAUGUAUUUGUGUUCUAAAUAUGUUUUAAUAAGGAUAACAAAAUGAUUUUUAUAAUGUCGAUAUACACCAACAUAUUCAAAAAUAGUAGGUAGGUUAAGUUUUUAUUUAUCAGAAUUUUGUUCAAAAGGUAAGCUAUUUUUUAUGUAUUUUUCUUAAAAUAGUAGGUAGGUUAACUUUAAUCUUUAUGUAUAUUUCUUGAAUUGGUUGCAUAUUUGAAUAGUUUGAUAUAUGUGUACCUGAGUGGAGAGAUGGGGCCCAGGCACGGUCGGUUGAUGUAGUGUAGUUGCUGACGUGUCGGUCUUCUUCUCCUUCAAUCGGUCGCUCCUUCUUGGUGUCUCCUUCGGUCGGGCGGGGGAGGGUACCUGCGAAGGCACUCCGACGCUCAAGUAAGUAUGAGAUUCUAAGGGAGGUUUAGUAAGUGAAUCAAAACGUACCUUUCUCUGGCUUGAGCACUGUAUUUAUAGGAUUGCUAAAUGGGCUUUCUACCUCUAAAUGGGCUUUCUACCUCUUGGGCUCAGGGUGGUUAUGGAUAGGUUUUACCAAUCGUGCUCCGGAAUACCCGGGGGAAAAUAUCUUCUUCACACACGUAUUCCUUAUUUUUCGGAGUAUCUUAACUACCUUAGUCUUGUUGCGCCCUCACAUUUAUUAUGAGUUCGGUCGGCCGGUUGGUACAUCUGUUCGUCCGGUGCCUGCCAGUACAAUAUGUAUCUUCAUCUUUGGUUAGAUAAAGAUAAUUUUUUUUUUUGUCUAAAUUAUUAAAUUAUGGUGUUUUGAAGUUUAAAAAUAUAUUAACACGAGAGUUAUAAGAUUGUAAUGGUGAUUGAAAAUAAACUUAUUUUUUCCUUUAAUAGUGACUAGACUCACAUAGAAAAAUGUAUCGAGUUGUGAGAGUUUAUUGAAGUUUAUAUGAUGGAUGGAUACUUAUAAGUUAGUUAUUAUUAAUCUUUGAUGAAAAUCUUUUAAAUGAUAUAAAAUAUGUGAGUGAUAAUAUAACUUGUUAUUAUUUUAUUUUAUGUUUUUUAAUUGCUAUCUUAUCCUUUAAUAAGUUUAUAUUAUAAUUUGAAUGUGAUUAUUUAUGAAAAGUUAAUUUUUUCUAAAGAAAUAAAUUGACGUAUUGAGAUGAUAUAUUUAAUAUUUUAUACUUUUAUUUAUAUAUACACUAUCAAUUUGAUAAGUAAAACAUGAUGAAAAAAAACUAAGUAUUUGAGUUAAUCGAGUCAGAAAUUAAAUAAAUAUAUUAAUAAGUAAUUGAGUUAAUUAGGUCAAAUAUAAUCAACACACACCUUUUAUUGUUAUUAUUUUGUGAAUUUAAUAGUUUUUUAAGUGUUUCAUAUUAACAAAAUUGAUCAUUAUAUUUUUCAUAAUUCACAAUUUGAUUGAUCUAUUUUAAUUUUGUAAAUAUGGGUGAACAAGUAAUUACUUGCUAAACCAAUAACUAAAAUGAUAAUGUCAUACAUCUACAUGAUUUUUAUUAAUUGAAUUUUUAAAAAAUGCACACAUGAACAUUUUAUCUUUCUUUAUUGUCAUAGAGGAAACAGGAAAGGGAAGAAAAAAGAAAGGAGAAAGAGUAAAAAGAAAGAAAAGUUGUUUGAAUGGAGAAAAAUACAAUAAGUGUAAAAUUAAGAAAAAAUGUAAGUAAUUGACUUGAUACAUUAUAAGAAAAUCAUUAAAUAAAAAUUAAUUUUAAAGAUAAAAAAUAAUUAGUGGUUAUAUUAACUAAAUUAAAAAUAUUUUAAAAAAAUAUUAAUUUUUAAAUUAAUUUCUAUUAUUAAUAAAUAUUUUCUAAUUAAUUACCAAAAUUUUAUCUAUCAACUAAUUAUAUUUUCCCACUAUAAGACUAAUUUUACUUUUGAGUAUCACUCAGGUCUAAGUUUUUUUUUCUUCCAAUCUUUUUAAUGAAUAAAUAAUUUAAGACAUAUAAAAUUUGGUUAAAAAUUGUAAUAAUGACUGUUUUUGAAUAUAUAAAUUUAAUUUUUAGUUUAUGAUACAUAAUUUUUACUAAGAUACAUUAUUAAUAAUAGCUGUUAAAGAUAAAAAAAUAAAAUAAACCCAGGACUAACUGUAUUAAAAGUUAUGAGAUGUUAAAUGAUUUUCUAAAACACUUCUGUUGAACAAAAACAAUUACAAAUACUUCUGACAAUGAAAGCUAAUUUUUUUUAUUUAAUAUAAUUAUUGUAAUUUACAUAUAUACACAGAGAUGAUAAUUAAAAAAUUUAAUGGAAAUAUUUUAAAUAUAUAUUAUGAUGUAAAGCUAUAUUUUUAGUAUUUAAUUUUUAAAAAUUAUAUAUAUUGGUAGAUUGGAAAUGAUAAUCAAUUAAAAGAAUCAAGUGUGAAAACAAAGACCAAAGAAUGAACGUUUAAUAAACAAAAAAUAAGUAUAACGCUGGCGUUUAUGAAUUAAUUAUAUUUUCUGAUUUUAUUUACCUUUUUUUUCUUUCAAUUCUAAUAAUAGCCUUUUAUAUUCUAUUCGUUUAUUAGUUAGCGUACAAAAGUUCACUUAGACACAAAUAUAGAAGAAAAUGAGUGUUUUUAACUCAUAUAUCAAUCCACUUAUGGGCCGAAACGUUGCAAUGACGUUUUCUUUUCCACCUCCACACAUUUUUUCUUGAAAUUACGUAAUUGUUAUGAAAAGUCAAAUUUAUUCUUUUUUGAAUUAUACGAUUUAGAAUGUAUUUUUUAAUUUAAAAAAUAUUUUUAAAAUUCUAUAAUUCAAAAAUAUUUUUUUAUUGAAUAUUUUUUAAAUUAUAAAAUUUUAAAGAUAUUUUCGAAUCUAUAAAAUAUAUUUCAAAUUUUACAAUUUAAAGUAUAAAUUAUAUUUCGAAUUAUACAGUUUGUAAAUUUGUAAAGUCUACUGAUUAUACAAUUCAGAAAUGAAAAAAAACAAAUUCAAAACACUUUUUGUCAAAGAAUAAUUUUGAAAUUAAAAGAAUCAUGGAGGUGCAGGAAAAUCUGUGGAGGUGCACGAAGAAAUCUCCAGCAACUGAAAUGGGUCAAACCGGCCUUUUUGUCAUCCCAAAAUACCUGGAAGAAAUUUCAUACCAUCAGUUUAAAUGGUUAAUUUAGUACUUAGAUUUUAGCUAAUUAUUAAAAAAAUAUUUAAAUAAUAAUAUCGAAAUUUUAUUUGAGAACUUAAAACAGUAAUAUAUGUCAAAAUAAAUAAAUAAAUAAAUAAAUUUCAGAAACUUAAAUUAUUACGACGACGAUAUACAACAAAAUCAUUAAAUUGAGCGUUUACUAAUUUUUUUUCUGCAUAAUUUGUCUGUUCUAUGGAGCCAUUAACAUCUAUUUCUAUCACCAACAUGGCUUUGACAAUUUGGCAGAUAUCCAAAAAUGCAGAUCGUUUUCUCAGUUUUUGUUUAGUUUGUUUGGUGCAGACACCAAUAUGAAAGACAACUUGAUGAUUUCACAUCUUAGACUUUUUGUUUCUCACGAUAACUGAUUGUAUCAAGAAACAAGAAAAGGGUGAGAAAUAAAAUGAAUGAUUACCGUUAUUUAAACCAUAUAAAUAUAUGCUUUUGCAAAAAUUUAAUAUUUUUUCUAAGUUUAAAAUAAACAAUAUUUCAAUUCUUUUAUACGAACGAACUUUAAUAAGAUUUUUUUCUACAAUAAAAGUAAGAGUUGUUUUAUUUUUUAAAAUUUAAAAUGACUUUAAAAAGUUGUUAAAAUAUAUAAGUUAAAAUAUUGAUUUUUUUACUUAAACAAGUGCCAAUUAAUAGAAUAUCAUUUUCAUAAAAUUCAGAUGAUUUGUAUUUUGGAAUUUCACAUAGUCCUUUUUCUUAAAAAGUUUAUAACAUCCACCUUAUAGUUACAUAAUAAUACUAAGAUGUAUUAAAGUAAUAUACAAACAUAUUAUUAUAAUCUAACUUUACUAGAAAAUCAUUAAAUCAUUAAAUAGAAACCAAUUUUAAAAAUAAAAAAUUAUUAAUUUUUAUAAUGACUAAAAUAUUAUUUUAAAGAUUAAAAAAAUUAGUAUCUAAAUUAGUUUUUAUUAUUGAUAAAUAGUUUUUAAAUUGGUAUUUAAUUAGCUACCUAAGUUUUAGCUAUCAAUUAUUUAGAUUAUAAAGUUGAUAUAUAAAACUUUGGUAUUUAAUUAUAUAUCAAUUUAUAAGUUAUUUAUCAAUAAUAGAAACUUAUUUAGAUACCAAUAAUUUUUUUAGUCUCUAAAAUAAUAUCUAAUUUUGUCAAUAUAACAACUAAUUAUUUUUUAUCUUUAAAAUUAGUUUUUAUUUAAUUACUUUCUUGUAAUGUAAUAUCCAAACAACAUAUAUAGUUAUUGGUUACGUUACACUUCAUUAUAGGUUUAAAUUGGGGCGGAAUAUGUGGGUUGGCAUGUGCGAUUCAAUAAGAAAAGAAUGCAUGGUCUAUUUUAAUCUACAAACCUAUUUAGAUUUGUCGCACAUAAUACGCAGUUUGCGCAGAUUAAUUGUGGGUGGGAUGGGCCAACCUGCAUAUAUUAAAGUUUUGAAUUCUUUUUAUCUUACAUUUUUUUUUUAACUCUCAUACUCUAAAAAAUUUCAAAUUUAACUCAUGUUCUACAAUCAGAAAUGAUUUUUUGUAUUCUUAGUUGUACCAUCUAAAACACAAAAUUUAACUUUUGAAUUCUAUAAUUUGGGAAAUUUCCAAAUUCCACAUUCUAAAAUUAAAGAAAAAAGAUUUAAUGUAAAAUAUCAAAAGAUAGAUUGAGUAGGUUUUGAAAUAUUGGGAAGAAACUUCCCAAAUUCCUAAUUCAUAAUACUUUUCUGGAAUUCAGUAAGACUUUAUGAUUUUUUUUUUAUAUUUAAUAUAGUGAAUUUGUCUUUGUAAGAUGUAUAGAUUUCAAUACUCACAGUAUAAUAGUAAAAUCUAUGUUAUUUUUAUAAUAAAAUUUAAAUAUAAUAUUAUAUAUUAUAUUAUUUUUCAAUUACAGUAGUAACUAUUUGUCUACAUAAAUUACCUUAAAAUAUAUAUAUAUAUAUAUAUAUAUAUAUAUUUAAUAAAAUAUUUUAUUAGUAAAUUAUAAUAAAAUACAAAUUUUUGAGAAUAUCAUAAUAAUUUAUUUUAUUCAUAUCUUAUUAUACAUAUAUUUAUAAGAAUAAUAUUAUUAAACCAUUUACCGAUUAUAUUUUACUAAUCCAAUGUAUGACAUGGUUAUUAACAAACCAUAAAACAGUUAGAGAUGAUGAUAGGGAUAAACCGGAACUGGGAUAACUUGCGUUGCAUGUGUCAUCAUAAUUAAAUCAGUAAACUAGCAAUUAACUCCAUAACACGGCAAUCAUGUUUCUUUGAUUUUAUUUCUGUCGUUCUUGAAUACAUGCAAAAAAAAAGGACACGUCCUUUCGUGUGACCAAGAAAAUGAAAACUAUACCUCGUUGCAAAGAAAAUUUAACAUAUUACAUUGUCUAACAUGUAUGACCACAUUAUUAGUUAAUUAGUUUCUCCCUUGGACCUUUCAUCGUCAACAACAUCACCCUUUAAUUACUCCCUGUUCUCAUCACGAUCAUGAGUUGGCACCACAUGUUUCCCAUCUUUCUCUGCACUGUUUGCGUUCUCCACCAUUUCACCUUCUCUCGUGGCUGCUUCCCUGAAUCUCUUGUAUAUGUCACCUUUGUAAAACUUUCUUGUCCUACCCACCAAAACCACCGAAACCAUGGCACCAAAGAAAGUUGCAGCUGUGAUGAUAAUGAAGGAUAGCUUGAAGCAAUGAACACCUACACAGUUCAGUUCCUGCCCUUCCUUUCUCUCAAGCCCCAACGCUGCAAGUUGCUUCUUUGCUUCUUUGUCAUACAAAUGCCCAGUCAUCACCACAUUGAGAAGAUAUAGCCCCACUGGACUCGCUGCACUUCCAAAAUUGUACAAAGUUGCAUAAUAUUUUAGUCCAAAAAGUUCAGAUAUAAUGGCAAAAAGUAAAGGCCACUGAGCUCCAAAACAGAACCCGAUGAUCACCGAAGCAGCAUAAAGUCCAUUUGGCACAUCAAAGGCUAUCAGAAGGUGGCCAACACAUGAUAGGAGCAUAGUUAAAGUGAGCAUAAGAGGACGAGGGAAGUUGUACUUGUGUAGAAAAUGUUCAGAAACAAAUCCAGAAAAAACCCUUCCUAGAUAAUUCCAAAUGCUCACUAGCGACACGAAAGUGCUUAUGCUUUUCUUGGGGUAUCGAAGCGACUUUCCUAUCUGACCCAGGUUAUCUAUUGCAGUCAACGUGCCCCCAAUACCACAUAUGCUACAUAUGAAAAGUAUUAACAUGUCGAUGCUGAAUAGUGCUUGAAGUAUUGUAUAGUCCUCGCCUCUUUCUGGUGGACUAAACACAUUUUCCCACCACUUGGUGUCGCUGGAAACUGCUGUAACUGAAUUGCUACCAUUAGUAGUUUCAUUCGGUUUAACCCUUUCACUCUCGGUUACUAUUUUCACCGGGGAAGGAUCAACCAAAGCAAGUCUUUUGCUCUGCCAGAUCUUGUGUUCUUCGAUGGAAACAACAGCAAGUGGGAGGAAGAGCAAGAAGAUUACAAUAGCGGCGCUGAUACCAUACUCACUCUGAGUGAAGUUCACCCUUUUCUGUAUUGUAAUCAUGACCAAAAGAAACCCAGCAAGGCCAAGAGAAAUAUAGAGAAAGUUGUAGAAAACCUUGAGCUCGUUCUGCUGCCUCACCGGCUUCAUGUAGCGAAUGGUUCGAAGGAAAGCAAAGGAAAUAGCAGCUGGAAGCCAACCUAUGAGCAAAAUCAAAGCCCUUGUGUCGUCGUAGUAGAUAGCAGAGUACAAUUGUGUGAUGAUUGCACCACUGAGACCCACGUAGCCUUUGAGGAUGCCCAACACAACACCACGGCUUUCUGGAAAGUUCUUGACACACGUGACGAGAGAACCGGUGUUGGCGAAGGACUGAGAGUUAGCACCUAUGCAGAUGUAGAGACACAUCUGCCACACCUGGGGUUUGGCUAUUUUCUGGGUGACUGAGAGCCAAAUCAUGAAGUAACCAAAGAAGUUGAGGACAGCACCGAUGGCUAGCACCACCCAGGGUGGAGUGAGCUCGUUGAUGAGACCAGAGAGGACUCCAACGUUAGUGCCCAAGUCCUUGAAGAAACUGAGGAGAUUGAGAGUGGUUUGGUCGUAGCCAAGGGUGGUUUUGAUGUCGCCUGAGUAGAGACCGAACAUGUAGGUGGCUCCAGCAGCAGCCAUGAUUAGAAAGGAGGCAAAGACGACGAACCAUCUACCAGUGAUGACUUGGAGGGUGAGACUCUUCAUGUCUCUCCAUCCAUGAACACCCAUGGAAGCUGCACCUAUCGCCAUGUUUGUGGAUACCAAGCACAAAAUAGCUAGCAGGCACAGUGCAAGUGCAUAUUCGUGGAAAUUGAAGUCAAUAUAUAUAGUGUGUGUGACUGUAUUUUUAAAAUACAUCAACCAGAGUUGACCGUUACGUUAUUUAAGCCAAUCUCCGUCAUGAUAUUAUAACAUUAGAGAAUCUAUAACACUUCCAUUUUUUCAAUUUUUCAUGAUAUCACCUUUCAUAGAAAAUGUUUUGUGAAUUCACAGCCACCAAAUUAGUAUAUACAUAUAAACCUGGAAAAUGAAAACUGUAAUAGACAGAUAACAUAAUUGAAAUAAGAGAGGAAAUGAGAAUUUAUCAAUGAAGUAUAGUCAAUGAUUAAUAUUUUAACUAUUUUAAUUUUAAUUUUAAUUAGAAAUAUUAUAAUAUUAUUAUAAAGGGAUGUGGAGUAGUGUUAUUUACUGUUUCUAGUCUUCACAAAAUAUACACAUGGAAUAUACAUGGAGAUCCCAAAUCGACUAGAGAUUAGAGCCUUUUAUUAUAUAUAAGUGGGUUCAAACCUCAAUCUCAUGAGCCGUUUUAUGGGAUUGAGUUAGGCUUAAAGUCCUAACAUGGUAUCAGAGCAUGUUUUCGAGCCUAUCCUAACGAGUAUUUGUUGGACCUAUCGUGCCACCCGCUAUCGGACCAUCCAUAAUAUAUAGUCCACCUCAAUACCACAGAAGUUUUCUUAACACUGUGAACAUAGUAAAUAGCACUAUUCAAUAACCUUUAUAAUAAUAUUAUAGUAUUUUUAAUUAAAAUUCAUUUUCUGAUAUGAAAGUAAACUCUGGUGCAGAUUACUAGAUAGUUUUCCAGAUAUGGAAUAUAGAAGACAGAGGUGGUGUCUGAGAUUCCUUAAGUGUAUGAAAUCCUAAACAUAAUCUGUUUCUGAUUUUGUAAGCUGCCAUUUCUGAUUUGUAGCCACAAUUUUUGGGAUCUUAUGAACCCUUUCAUAUCAUAUGUAACAGCUAUCUAAUAAAUCAUUCUCACCAAAAUUUUCCACCAUUUCCCACUCUAUCUUAAUUCUCUUUUUAUCUUUCUUUAUUCUUCCAUUCCUUGCUGUAACAUUUGACCUCGUCGUGCCAAAAAAAUUAAGUCAUACUGUCACUGUAUUCAGUCACUGAAAAUUGAAAUGGUUCUAUAAUAUUCAAAAGGAAAAUGAUUGACAGCGAUAAUUCUUCCAUUAGAUUUAUUUGGAGUAUUUUUAAAAAUUCAUUUUCUGAUUUGGAUUUCAAAAAAGAAGAAGUAAUUCCAAUUUAAAAUCAGGAGAAAUUACCAUAAAUUUUAAUUUUUAGAUGUAGAAAUCAGAUCAAAUAUGGUAAGACUCUUUAGGGAUUUUUUUUACUAUUAUUUACCUUAGUACAGAGUUUAUUUAGUGAAUUUAAAAUAAAACAUUUUAAUUGAAUUCAAACGUGAGAUAAUUUUGUUUCAUUAAAAUUUAAACUAGAGUCAUAUUUGCAAAUCAAAGGUUGAAUUAAAAUUUUGCUAUUACUUAAGUUUGAGGGCAAAUGUGGAAGUAGGAUAAGUUCAAUACUUAGUCUAACUUUAUAUUUUAAUGUCUAAGAUAACUUUAACCUUUAUGAUAACUUUCCGGAAAUGUAUUUUAUAACAACGUGUUUAAACAAAACAUAUAUUUCUUAAGAUUUUUUAUAUGUAAUUAUAGCAUAUGUUUAAUUUAAUCUUAAUUAUAAGAUUUAUGUUUAGACGCACAUUAGUGUGUAAUCAAACCAGCUCAUAAGCAACAGGGCGGCUAGGUAUGAAAGACUUGGAAUUAUUUAUUACUAUUAUUAUUAUUAUUAUUAUUAAAUUAAAGAAAGUGGUUGACCCUGGAAUAUUGGGUUCUUCCUUAGUGUGGAAUCUGGAUCUGGUGAAUAUGGUGAUAAGAAACGUAGAAGACUCUGAAAAGUAAUUAUGGCUAAUUAAUCCAAGUCAACAAUUCCAUAUAAUAUAUUCUUUAAGAAAAAAUCAAGGAUAUAAACCAAUUGUAUGUCACAUUUUAUAUAUCCAUAAUCAGUGUAGAAAAUUCUUCAAAAAUAAUAAUAAUUAAUAGCUUAUUAUAAGUUUCUCUUAAUUAUGGAGAAGAUGUUAAACAAGAAAAAUAAAAAUAUAUCUAUUAUCGUUUAAAAUAGUUACUUUUAAGUUACUGAAUUCAAAUUUCCCUUUUCUAAUUGCGUUAUAUAUAUUGCUGAUAAAAAAAUAUGUAAAGAACAACUAUUACAACUAUUAGAAGAGAGUUUAAAGUUCAUGAAAAAGGGAAAUUGCGUUGUUAAAUUAAAAAAUUACAUAUAAAAGCCGAAACAAUUUGAUUUUUCUAUUUCUCUAAAAUUAUAAUUUUCCUUAAAAAUAAAGAUUCUAUUUUUUCUCUACGUUUUCUUUAGAGUUUUCUUAAAAUUUUAACAAUUAAAAAAAAAAGCAUUUAUGCAAUGUUAGUUUUUACUGUUGCACUGCUUAUUAGGAUAAAAAGGAGGGGUCAUUCUUGUUCGGCUUAGUUCUGAGGUGUGAUUAGCUGUAGUGGUGGUGUAAUUAGUUGUUAAAGGUGUUGUGGCUAGUAACUGCUAUUAUAAUAUAAAAAAUAAUUACUUUCCAUCCUAACACUCACAAAUUUCAAUAAAAAAAUUUGUAUAUUCAUUCUAAUAUAUUAUAAUCCAAAUAACUUAACUUCAUAUUUUUCUCUCAAAUCUUCAUAUUAACUCCUUCAAUUCUUAACACAUUUGCACCCCAAAUCAAACAUCACCUUAAAUCAAAGUAAUAAGUCAUGAUGAAUCAUAAAUAAUAUAAAUUAUUGAUUAAAAAUAUUAAUCAAUAAAAAAUAAAUUAAUAACUUACUCCUUAGUCAACAAUCAACAUGUCCAUGGUCAUCACCACUCAAUUGGUGGCAUGUCGACCAUACUCCAUCCAAUCACUACGACCAACCUUGCCAUAAAGAUGGCAAUAGGGGUGGGGCUCUACAGUAUGAAUACGAUGGCAAUACGAUUUAAACAAACCAUUAAUGAGUAUUUGUUAAAUAUAAGAUUUAAACAAGAAUUAAAAAAUAUUUUCGAUCAUAUAUUUAAGCUAAAAAUAGUUUUAUAUUUGAAAAUAUUUGUACUAAAGAUAAAUUAAAACAAUUUAAUUUAUGUGUUUGAAAUAUAUACCAUUUGUCAAGUAUUAUUAAGUUAACUAAAUUAGUGUAACGAGGCUAAAGAAAAAACUAAUUUAACCUGACAGAUAAAAUUUAAAAAUUUAAAUCGACGGGGAAGAAAAAUUCUACUUACUCAUUAUAUUUCUCAAUUCUGCUUGCGUGAUGAAAUGAAUUAUUGUAGAAGUAUCAUCUUUUAAAUAUGAUUUUUGUUCUUACACAAAAGUGACAUUUUUUCUGCUGAAUAUGGACAAUAUUUCUCCUAUUAUAAAGUUUGAGCCCCAAAAUAUUAAUCAUAUUUAGAUUUUUCUAAUUACAUAUUUACCUGCAAAUGACAAAAUAAUUAUGACAUUGUGCUCUAAUGAUAUAUAAUACCUACAAGUCUGUUAUUAUUUAAAAGUUUAGGUAAAAAGUAGUUGGGAAAUAUAUUUUUUUCUUAAACUAUAAGGUCCUAAGGUACCUUUAAAAAAAAUAAAAGCUAUAUCAAAACCAUCAAAUUCUAAAUAAGAUAAUCCAUUAAAUAUGAUUUUAACGAUAUUAUCUUGAUUUAUGGUUUAUAUUAUCCAUUUCCACCUCCACUAAUAUCUGGAAGACAAACAUAAAAACUAAUUUAUGACACGAGAUCUCCAAUAAAUAAAUUACUUGAUAUAAUAUAAUAAUAUUUACAUUAAAAUUUAAUUAUAUAUAUAUUUUUUCAUUUUGUGGUGAAAUUUAUAACUUCAAUUUUCCCAUAUUUAAUUACUAAUUUUUAUAUUUUUAAUGUAUUUUUAAAAUUUUUAAAAAAUUAUGCAUUACUCUUGUUUAUUUUCUAAUUGCACAAUUUUAGUUUUUAAUUUGACAAUUAAUAUUCUCAUAUAAAAAAUUUAUACUAAAAACUUAUUUAGACACUAUUUUUUAAAUAAUACAUCAAUAUUCCAUGCAAACAUAAAUUUAAUUAAAUAUAAAAAUAACUAAAAUUGUAUUAGCAUGAUAUAAUUUCAUUGUGAUUGAUUUGAAUUUAAGUAGUGUCACGCUAGAUGACUUUAUUUAAAAUAAAAUAAAAUAUUAAAUUUUAAUUAACAUUAAUUAAAAUUGUGUGACUCAAACAUAACUUUUUCUCUAACACUAUUGACAUAAUUUAAUUUGUACAAAUCCAAACUCAUUCAUAACGUCAUGUUAAAAAAAUGGACAAUAUUUUCAAAAUUUGUCAAUUUUGAUAAUUUUUCUGAAAAAAUCAACUUAUUUGAUUAAAAAACCCGUGUUUUCCACACCAUUGUGAAUAAUAAAUGUUAAUUCUUGUUUUUCAAUUUGAUGGAUUAAGAAAACAUUUAUUUUUAAUUUGGAGAAGUAAAAUAAAAAUUCACCUAAAUACAAAAGAUUAAAAAAUAUUUUAACUAAAAUAUUUAAAAAGUGAAUUUCUACAUUAUUAUUUUAGAUAAACAUAUUAUUACUCUUCUAGAUAUGGUUAAUCAUGUCACUAAAUGAUAAAAAAAAAGCAUUUUCUUAAAUUCAAACCGAAAAGAAUAUUUUUUUUUAAAAAAAAUUUAGGGAUUAACAUAUGUUUUGUUUAUAUUAUAACUUUAUUUUAUUAUUAUUAUUAUUAUUAUUUAUAAUUAUUGUUGUUAUUAAUAGUAUAAUUAAAUAUUUUUGUUAGAUAAUUUAUGUAAUAUUUGAUAUGAGAAUCGAUUCUCCACGUAUCAUAUUAAAAAAAAUCUAUUUUAAGUAUAUGAGAAUCAUUUUUUCUUGAAUAACAUAUGAGUGGGAAUCGAUUUUUCUUUUAAAUAGCACAUGAGCGAGAAUUGAUCCUCUCUUGAAUAACACAUGAGUGAGAAUAGAUCCUCCUUUGAAUAACACACGAGUGAAAAUUGAUUUUGGUUCCUAUUGAAAGCAUGCCAAAUUGAUUUCACUCACCUCCAAUGUGCUUUUUUAGUGCUUUCUUUUUUCUCUUUAUAAGUGUCUCACUGUCAUGGGUAUCACAGUAAAAUACUCUGGUCUACCUGAAAAUCACCUUGAAUCCUUGCAUAUAAGAGAAGAAUAAGAAUUUCACUUCACUCAGACAAGUACCUUUAAAUUAGUUGAUCUAAAUAUACCAGUCACUCACACAAAAUCAGACUUGAUCUAGUUACACUAUUAAGAGAAAGAAUGACCGAGAAAGGUGGCUGAUUGUAAGUGAGACAAGUAAAAAAAGUCAAAAGUAUGUUAAAUGGGUUACUAAUCAUGUAGAAUUUUUUUAAAAAUUAAUAGUUUUUAAAUUUUAAGAGCCACUAAAUUGUAGAAUUGAGUAAAUUCAAACUUACUUUCUUCUCAAAUAUCAUAUGUUAUCAGCAGAAAACAUGACACGUGGAGAACAUACAAUUUGCCUCUACUUUCCCUCAUAAUCAUUUCUUUCAAACCACCAAAUCCAAGUAGUGACUCACCCAAGUGACAAUAAGAACCCAAAUACGUUUGUUGUCAUGGAAAUGCUAAAAUAACUCGUGGAGCUUUUGAUUUGAUUUAGAAUGAUUUUUUUUAUACUUCUCUUUUUCUCUCACUUUUAUUUCAUAACUCUUUUAAAUAAUAAAAUAUUAUAUUCAACUAAUAAAAUAAAAAUAAAUGAAAUUUUAAAAUAAAAUAAUAUUAUUAUUGGUUGUAAAGUUGAGAGUAUGGAAAAAUUAGAGUGUGGAAAAAUCAGAGUUUCAAAGUAUCAUUCUCUUUUUUUUAUUAUCAUAAGUAUAUGAGGCACUAGAAUGCCUCAACAAGUGUUUUCCUACCUAUUUACACUGUUUGUAUCUUUCUACAAGUGUUUUCUUGAAACUUUUGUUUAAUCUUUAAAAAAACAAUUUGUUGAGUGCCAUGACAAAAAAAAGUUUUGAUUAGAGUGUUAUAUGUUGACUUGAUUAGCUGUAAGAAUCAUAUUUUAAUGACAUAUUGUAUACAUCGGGAAUAUAUUUAAAAUUAGUCUCAUUUCAUAAAUAAUAUAAUUCAUCACCACAGGUUACAAAAGAUAAGCACAUUUAGUGUUGUUAGACGUUAUCAUGCAGCCACUUGCAUAAAAUAAUUGCUUUAGAAAGAUUAUUAAGAUAUUUCAUAAUUAUAUAUAUAACUAGUUUUAAAUUUCAUUUUAUAAAGUUGAAUUAAGCUUAACAUCCAUUUUUAUCCACUUUUUAAUAUAAUAUUAAUUUUGUAAAGUUGAAUUAGAUUUAUAUAUAGUAUCAAAGUUUAUUUUGAAUAUAUUCCAACUAGAGUUUUUUUUGAACUUAUUAGACCAUCUGUUAUACGAGAGUUUGUUGGACUUAUUAGAUCAAAUCAACUAUUUAUAAUACAUAGUUUCACUCAUUAGUUGGUAUAUCGACAAGUGGAUGCAAACCUCAUCUUAUAAAUCAAUUUUAUAAAAUUUGAGUUAGAGUUAAAAUUUAUUUUUAAUAAAAAAAGAAUGUGCAAACCCUAAAUUUGGUCAAAAAUUAAUUUUUUUUAUUUGAUCUUUGUGUUCCCUUUGAAGAUUUGAAAAGAUAUGUAACAGAGAGCAAAGGAGGGGAAUAGUCAACUAUUACGAUAACAGGGCAAUCAUGUUUCUUUUAUUUAUUCUACUCACUAGAAAAACUGCGAAAAAAAAGGCUCGUCGUUUUGUGUGACAAAGAAAAUGAAAAGUAUACAUUACGGCAAACAAAAUGUACCAAACUAUAAUGUUACAUGUUACAUUAUUAAUUAAUUUUUUUGUUUGAAGCUUGACUACAACAAGAUCAUGUUCUACCAUAUUAGUCCUACUUCUGAGUUAGCACCAUCUGUUUCCCAUCUUUCUCUGCCUUGCUCGUGUUCUCUACCGCCGCCAUUUCACUUUCCGACACGGUGGCUGCAUCCCGGAAUCUCUUGUAUAUGUCACUACUGUAAAACUUUCUUGUCCUCGCCACCAAAAUCAGUGAAACAAUGGCACCAAAGAAAGUUGCUGCUGCGAUGACAAUGAAGGAUAGCCUGAAGCAAUCGACCCCGAUACACUUCAAUUCCUGCCCUUCCUUUCUUUGAAGCCCCAACGCUGCGAGUUGCUUCUUUGCUUCUUUGUCAUACAAAUAACCAGUCAUUUUCACAUUAAGCAGAUAUAACCCCAGUGGACUUGCUACGCUUCCAAAAUUGUACAAGGUUGCGUAAUAUUUUAGUCCAAAAAGUUCGGAGAUAAUGGCAAAAAGUAAAGGCCACUGAGCGCCAAAACAGAACCCGAUAAUCACCGAAGCAGCAUAGAGUCCAUUUGGCACAUCAAACGCUAUCAGAAGAUGGCCAACACAUGAUACGAGCAGAGUUAAAGUAAGCAUAAGAGGACGGGGAAAUUUGUACUUCACUAGAAAAUGUUCAGAAACAAAUCCAGAGAAAACCCGUCCCAGGUAAUUCCAAAUGCUCACCAAGGACACAAAGGUACUUAUACUUUUCUUAGGAUAUCUGAGAGAGGAUCCUAUCUGACCCAAGUUGUCUAUUGCAGUCAACGUGCCCCCAACACCACAUAUGCAAGUCAUGAAAAGUAUCAACAUGUCGAUGCUGAAUAGUGCUUGGAGUAUUGUAUAGUCCUCGCCUCUUUCCGGUGGACUAAACACAUUUUCGCACCACUUGGUGUCGCUGGAAACUGCAGUCUUCCCAUCAGUGGCCUCAUUCGGUUUCACUUUUUCACCCUCGGUGACGAUUUUCACCGGCGAGGGGUCAACCAGAGCAAGUCUUUUACUCUGCCAGAUCUUAUGUUCUUCGAUAGAAACCACGAGAAGUGGGAGGAAGAGCAAGAAGAUCACAAUACCAGCGCUCACACCGUACUCACUCUGAGUGAAGUUCACCCUUUUCUGUAUUGUAAUCAUGACCAAAAGAAACCCAGCAAGGCCAAGAGAAAUGUAGAGAAAGUUGUAGAAAACCUUGAGCUCGUUCAGCUGCCUCACCGGCUUCAUGUAGCGAAUGGUUCGAAGGAAAGCAAAGGAAAUAGCAGCUGGGAGCCAACCUAUGAGCAAAAUCAAAGCCCUUGUGUCGUCGUAGUAGAUAGCAGAGUACAAUUGUGUGAUGAUUGCACCACUGAGACCCACGUAGCCUUUGAGAAUGCCCAACACAGCCCCACGGCUUUCUGGAAAGUUCUUGACACACGUGACUAGAGAACCGGUGUUGGCAAAGGACUGAGAGUUAGCACCUAUGCAGAUGUAGAGACACAUCUGCCACACCUGGGGUCUGGCUAUUUUCUGGGUGACCGAGAGCCAAAUCAUGAAGUAACCAAAGAAGUUCAGGACAGCACCAAUGGUUAGGACCACCCAAGGUGGAGUGAACUCGUUGAUAAGGCCGGCGAGGAUUCCAACGUUGCUACCCAAGUCCUUGAAGAAACUGAGGAGAUUGAGGGUAGAUUGGUCGUAGCCAAGGGUGGUUUUGAUGUCGCCGGAGUAGAGGGCGAACAUGUAGGUGGCUCCGGCGGCAGCCAUGAUUAGAAAGGAGGCAAAGACGACGAACCAUCGACCAGUGAUGACUUGGAGGGUGAGACUCUUCAUGUCUCCCCAUCCAUGAACACCAACGGAACCUGCAGGUACCCCCAACGCCAUGUUUGUGGAUAGCAAGCACUGGGUAGUAGAAGAAGGUGCCUACAAAUAGAAGUCAAAGAAUGUGUCUCUGUGUUGUGAGAGCAUGCAUUAAAUAUAUAUAGACUUUCUUUCUCAUGACAACCUUGUUCUGUUCUACAACCUUUCUUUCGUUAUGAAUGUGUCAUUCUUUUUUUUUUUUCCUUUUUUUAGAAUUGUUCUGUUCUCACUUGGGAUAAGCAGCAACAUCAUCAUGGGAGAAAGAAAAAAGUAAAACACGUACGAGAAUAAAAGAGAUUUGAAAUUAUUUUCCUUCGUCUAAUAUUUAUCUUCAUAAUAACAGUAAGAUAUGAUUGAAUUGAAUACUUUUAAUUACAUUUAAUAAAAAAAUAUUUUUUGUUAUUAAUACUAUUUAUACCAUUUUAAUAGUUAACAGUAACACGUAGUUUUUUAUUACAUAUAUAGAAUCAUUUUUAAAAAGUAACAUUUAUUUAUUACUUUUAUCCAAAUAUUUUAUGGUUUAUAAAUAUAUAACUUUUAUGAUAACACUUUAAUGUAUAUCUCCAAAAUUAUAAAUAUUUAGUAAUAUUGUCAUUUUAAUUAAUAAUUAGGGAUGUAAAUAAUCAAUUAUAUAUUUGUAGGUGAUUUCAUGUUGUUAUAUCCAGAUAACUUCGAAGAAAAAUUUAUACCUAUUAUAAAUUAGAUUUCCUACUUUUUGUUGUUGCAAUUAUCAACAUAAUAAGAAUUCAAUCAUAUAUUUAUUAUAUUGUUCAUGAAUUCAUGUGUAUUUUUAAUUAUAAAAUCAAAGUGUAAGAUUGAAACCAAUAAUUUAAAUAAAAUAAGUUAAAAAGGUACUUCACAUACCAACUAAUCCAACCAUAAUAUAUGUUAUGGUUAAUACACACAAAUUUCCUCACACAUGUUGGAGCCGGUUAGUAGUACAAAAUCGUACUAAGAAAUGUUUGGAUAGACUACAACUAAGAACUUAUCUUAUGAAUAUGUUCCUGGUUGGUCAAUAAUCACUCCUCAUAGGUUUGUGUCUCAAUUGCUUAUUUUAUUUUUAUAAAUUGACUUGUUGACUAUAACAUGCUUAUGUUUAUUAUAUGUAACUUUUAAAAUAGUUAUUGCUAUCUAACAUGUUUCUGAUUAUUUUAUUAAUUUUUUAUUGUUAUGGAAAAAAACAUACUCAUUAUUAAGAUCAACAUACUAAACUUCUACAAUCAUUCCUUAUACUCAUACCAUACAACUUCUAACUAAUAUUAGUUUUUUUUUAUAACAAUAAUAAAUAAAUAAAUAAAUAGAAUCACUUUAAGGGUGAUUAAACCCUUAUACGUAACAAGACACCAUAACACAUCUCUCCAAAGCACCCACUGCUAAAUGAGGAAAAGAGUCACCACCUAUCAGAAAAUAACCAACCAACAAACAAAUAAACUAAAAGUCUCCUAAGGAAUAUCCAAUAUCCAAACUCACGAACAACCAACACUCAACCCACACAUCAAAACCAGUCAAAGAUAACAAUAAUCGAAACACUUAUAACAGAUUGAGACAAGAUAUGAGGGUUAAACACCAAUCAGAAAAGGAAAAUUGAGCAGCAGGUAUUUUAGAGGUAACCCAAGUUCAAACAUUUAGUUGGACCAAAGAAAAAAUUUCAAGAUGAUCUACCACUUCACCAUCGAAAAUAAUCUUAUUCCUAUGAUUCUAGAUUUUUCUUACCACAACAAUUCAAACGUUUCCCAGAACAGAGUUGACAGCACAAAUGUCUUGCAUAAAGAAAACUGAAUAAACUAUUAUCAGUUCCUAUGUGUUUCUUCCUCAAUAGGGUCUAAGAGUGUACAUUAUAAGACACAAAUUGUACAAGCAGACUCCAACAUUCUGAGAUCAGUAGUAGAAGCAGAAACUCAGACCGAGACAUUAGUGUUUUGGUGCAUGUGUGUGAUAUGAAGAGAANNNNNNNNNNNNNNNNNNNNNNNNNNNNNNNNNNNNNNNNNNNNNNNNNNNNNNNNNNNNNNNNNNNNNNNNNNNNNNNNNNNNNNNNNNNNNNNNNNNNNNNNNNNNNNNNNNNNNNNNNNNNNNNNNNNNNNNNNNNNNNNNNNNNNNNNNNNNNNNNNNNNNNNNNNNNNNNNNNNNNNNNNNNNNNNNNNNNNNNNNNNNNNNNNNNNNNNNNNNNNNNNNNNNNNNNNNNNNNNNNNNNNNNNNNNNNNNNNNNNNNNNNNNNNNNNNNNNNNNNNNNNNNNNNNNNNNNNNNNNNNNNNNNNNNNNNNNNNNNNNNNNNNNNNNNNNNNNNNNNNNNNNNNNNNNNNNNNNNNNUUAUUAUAUACUAAUAAUAAUAAUAUAUAUAUAUAUAUAUAUAUAUAUAUAUAUAUAUAUAUAUAUAUAUAUAACUAAUCUUUUAUUGUGUGUUUUUUUAGCAUGGUUAAAACGAACGUGAGUUGAAUUUUCUAAAAUAACUAAUUUUUUGGUUUUUUUUUUUUCUCUAAAAGAUCUUAUAAGUGCUCCCAAGUUAAUUGAACAGUUGCGAUGGAUUAAAAUACCUUAAAUUUAAAUUUAAGUACGUGUAGUAAUGUAACUUCUAUUAAUUAUGUCAUUAGUAUCUACUGAUUAACAGUUAUAAAAUAUGUGAUUUCCUACCAAUAUUAGGAAGUGUUUACUUACAUUUUUUUUAUUACUACCUACAAUUGUCGCUUUGUUUUUAAUCUAUUUUUUUUAUAGAUUUAUACGUACAGAAAAUAUUAAAAAUAAACCUUUUUUCUCUAUUUUCUAAACAAACAUUUUAAAACGGAAAACACAAAACAGAUUAAAAAUAAGGUAGUAUUUUUUAAAUUAAAAGUAGAAAAUUAGAAUAAGAAACAAAAAGUGUGUUAAAAUCCCUACCCUCUAACAAUUUUGUUAUUAAAUAAAUGAAUAAAUAGACUAAAAAUUAGUUUGACCCUUGUGUAUUGGGUUCUCCACCAGUCUAAAAUAUAUCUGGUCAAUAAACUAGUGCCUAUAAAAACUAUAAGUUGUUUUCAAAACGAUUGUCGAUAACGUAUGUUAUAAUAACAUGAAGAUAAAAGCUAUCCUCUCAUAAUAACUCUGUCUCAUUAUAUACAGAGACACGCAUAGCAGAAAAUUCAUAAAAAAACUAUAAAACAAUCUUUGUUUCUUUGUUUGUUUUCAACGAACUCAUCCGAUGAGGACUUUUAAAUGAGUACAAAAAUCAACAGAAUAGUAUUAGAACAAUUAUUAUGAAUUAUGAUUGCAAAAUAAAAUAUUACUCUCUCACCAUUAUUUUCAACUUCUUAAAGAUUGACUCAAACUACAUGGUACUACAUAUCAUCAUAUGUCAUAUGUUUUAAAAAAAAAUGCAGCACUAAAAAAAAAAAAACUAAUUUUAAAAAUCAAAAUAAUUAAUUAUUAUUUGAUUCAAUUAAAAAUCAUUUUAUAAACUAAAACAAUUAUUGGUAUAUAAAAUAAUUUCUAUUAUUAAUAAAAAUUUAUAAAAUAGUUUCUAAAUUUGUAUUUAAUCACCCAAUACCAAGAUUUUAGUUAUUUAUCACUUUAUAUUUUAAAUUAGUUUUUAUUAAUCUUUUAGAGAUCAAUUUAAAAUCAUCUUAGACACAAAAAAUAAUUAGUUGACUAAAUUAGAGACUUUUUAGGGACUAAAUAAAUUUUUGGUUUCAAAAUUAGUUUUUAUUAUCGUUAAAUAGUUUCUAAAUUGGUAUCUAAUUAACGAUCAAAGUUUUUGCUACCAAAUUUAUAAUAUAAAUAUUUGGUACUUAAAACCUUGGUAACUAAUUAAAUAACAAUUUAGAAACUAUUUAACAAUAAUAGAAACUAAUUUAGAAACAAUUUUUUUAGUUUCUAAAAUGGUCUCUAAUUUAGUUACUAUUGCAACUAAUAAUUAUUAAGGUCUCUAAAAAUUGGUUUCAUUUUCAUUUUCUUGUAAUGUAUGUAACUAUUAGAAACUAUUUUAUAGAUUUUUAUUAAUAAUAGAAAUCAGUUUAGAUAUUAAUAACCUUUUAUCUUUAAAAUAAUAUUUAAUUUAAUUAAUAUAAUAAUUAAUUAUUUUUGUCAAUAAAUUUAAUUUUUAUUUAAUUUGUUUUUUAGUGAUAUAGUUAAUCAUAGUCAUAUAUAUCUAUCUUUGAAAGACUUGUCAAUAUGGAAGAUGUUACUGUUCAUGCACCACUAAACUUAUAGCCUCUGAUCAACCAAAUAUUAGGUUAAGGAUGAACGUGAUCUGUUUUUCUACUAUUUAUCAGCCAUUGGACUUAUCAAAACCCUCUUUUUUCCUCCAAAUUCAGCUCACAUCAACCACAAGUUAGGUUAGAGAUGAACGUCAUUGUAUUGGUGUGGAAGUGGGAUUCAGUACACUACAAGAAAAUCAUAUAAACCAAUUUUUAGAUACCAAAAUACUUAAUUGCAAUAGUAACUAAAUUAUAUACCAUUAUAAAAAUUGAAAAAAAACUUGAUUUCUAAAUUAGUUUCUAUUAUUGUUAAAUAAUUUCUAAAUUGGUAUCUAAUUAGCAAACAAAGUUUUUGCUACCAAAUUUAGAAACUAAAUAAUUGGUAGUUAAAACUUUGUUGCUAAUUAGAUAUCAAUUUAGAAACUAUUUAACAAUAAUAGAAACUAAUUUAGAAACCAUUUUUUUUUAGUUUUUAGUAUAGUAUCUAAUCUAGUUACUAUUGCAACUAAUUAUUUUGGUAUCUAAAAAUUGAUUUCUAUUUUAUGAUUUUCUUAUAGUGGUGGUAUUUAUGAGAAAAAAAACGAGUCCUAAUUCACCAUCAAUAGUAUAAAUAGAUCUCUUAAAUUAUAAUUUCAUAUCAUUAUUAUUAUUUAUUAAAAUUGAAUUAAAGUAAGAUAUCACAUUAUCUAUUUUUUAUCUAUUUUAAAAAUUUAUACAUUAUAUCAAUUUUGAUUUUAUAAAAAAGAUGCAUAAAAUCAUUUUAGAUUUGAUAAGUCAUUGCUGAGAUUUUGGUUGUGUUCCUUAUUCUUGUUAACUAGUCAUAAUCUUUAUCCCUUAAAUAUUUCUUUUAUCCCUUAAAUAUUUCUUUUAAUUUUAUUCUAUUUUGGUUGUAUUGGAGACUAUGAUUCAAAUAGUCUUUAACAUUUUGUAUGAGAACUAUCACUCAAAUGCUCCAAUUUAUUUAAUUGUUUUUAUAAAUAAAAAUAAAUUAAUAAAUGUGCAAUUAUGAUACACUAGGGGAAAAUGAAAAAAAAAGAAAGAUAAUAAUUUAAUUUUAAUUAAGAUUUUUAUUAGUUUUAAUCUCAAUAUAAAGAUUAUAAUGAUUUGUUUUCAUUUCUCAAUUUCUCAUUUUAAGAGUUUUUCUCCUUGAAAGGUCCAUUCUCUCUGUCUCUAUAUAGAAAACUAAAUUUAAAUAACACUUUCAAAUAUAAAAAAAUAUUUUACUUAUUUAACAAAUAAGAAUGCGCUAUAUAUUGAACUUUGUAAUUGUGCGUGUAUAUUUUCCAAAAAUUGCAUUGAAAAGGUUUAUUGAAAAACUCUUUGUUUAUUAAUUAAAUAAUAGGUAGUUUUGCUUUUACAAGUUUAUUAUGAGGAGAAAGUAAGUUUGAUGUGUAUUAGCAUUUACUGUUCUAUUAAAUUUUGAAAUAAAAUAAUAAAAAAAUGUGAUACAGAAUUAUGAAGUUUAUCAUUAAUGUGAUUUUUUUUGUUUUUAUAUGAUAAUUCUACAAACAAAACAAAAAAUGAGCACGUAAAUUAUGUUAUUGUAUACUGCUACUUUUCUAAUAAGGAAAGAGUGCAUAUUAAUGAUACACAAUUUUUUUCUUUUCAGUAUGCAUAUUAAUCAACAUGUUAUGCAUUUCAACUUGUACGUUCACACAACACCUUCAAGUUCUUUCACACCAAGAAAUUCAAAUAGAGUGUGCCCUAUUUAAGGAAUUUUCUGAUUCAAAAUUUAAAUUACUUUAAAUUAAAUUAUUCCAGUUUUUUUUCUUAUUUAUAAUAAAAAUAUAUUUAUAAAUCAUAAUUGUAUGUUAUCUUCCAAAUUUUAAUUAAUAUUAUUUAAAUUUUUAAAAAUUAUCCUUUUUAAAUUAAUAUGUUUAAAAAUUUUAUGUUGAAAAAUCCAUCAUAUUGGUGCAAUUUUAUUUUUUCCUAUUUUUAUUUCAUAUAUUUAACUGAUUAAAUAAAAUUUUAUGAAUAUUCACUACAAGAAAAACAUGAAAUAUAAACCAAUUUUUAGAGACCAAAAUAAUUAAUUGCAAUAAUAACUAAAUUAGAGACCAUUUUAGAAACUAAAACAAAAAUUGGUUUCUAAAUUAGUUUAUAUUAUUGUUAAAUAAUUUCUAAAUUGGUAUCUAAUUAGCAACGAAUGUUUUAGAGACCAAAUUUAGAAACUAAAUAAUUGAUAGUUAAAACCUUGGUUGCUAAUUAGAUACCAAUUUAAAAACUAUUUAACAAUAAUAGAAAUAAUUUAUAAACCAAAUUUUAUUUUAGUUUAUAAAAUGGUAUCUAAUUUAGUUACUAUUGCAACUAAUUAUUUUGGUCUCUAAAAAUUAGUUUCUAUUUGAUGAUUUUCUUGUAGUGAUUUAAAUGAAUAUAUUAGGAGUAUAUAUAUAUAUAUAUAAAUUGGAUCAAAAUGGUAGAGUAACUAAAAAGAGGAUGAAAUAAAUUUAUUUCAAAAGGAAAUUACCAAAAUUAUACAUUAAAAGAGACUAAAAUUAUUAAUUAAACUUUUUUUAUUUUAUGAACAAAAAAGAUACAUGUGUUUUGUCUGUGUUUAGUUAUAUUUAUUAAAUUAUUUGUUUAAAUUUAAGAAAAAAUAUUUUUAAAUGAUAAUGAUAUUAAAUAAAUUUUAUUAAUUAUUACUCACUUAUAUUUGAAUAAAAAAACUAUUUUGAUAUUUAAAUAAUAAAUUUAAGAUAAAUUCACCUGUCGAAUAAGAAAAAUAGAAAAUGCAUUAGGAGAUUGGAAUUUAAAAAAUGUCUUAAUUAAGAUUGAUAAAUUAAAGACGUCAUAAUUAACAUCGAUGAGUUGAAAAGUUAAAGAAGAUUUAUCAAACUAAAUUUGAAAUUCAAAUGUAAGAAUAGAAAUUAUCUCAUUAAAGUUAAACUUCAAAUUCUAAAAAAUGAUGUCUAUUAUGAGUGCGAGAGUUUAAAAAAAAAAUUUAUAAUAUGGUUAUAAGAUUCAAGGUCCACUAUUAAGUACGUUCAUACAAUAAAUCACUUCAAAACCUAAUAGAAACUAAUGUUUAAAGAAUUUAUAGUUAUAAGAAUUAUUGAAAAUAAAUACCAUAAUUAAUAUAAUAAAUUAUAAAACUUAAAUCUAAACAGUAAAAAAAUAAAUUAAGUUUUUUUUUUUUAAUGUUGAUAUGUGUAUAUUUAUCUCAUCCGCAUCCUUAUCUUCAUUUUAAAUUACUAUAACAUAUUUAAUUUAUUUAAUUUUCUAUUUUAAAAAUUAUAAAUUUUUUUUUUACAUAGAGGAAUGCAACAUAUAUCUUUUUUUUACAGUAAAUUUUUGAUAAUAUAUUUUUUUUAUCUUUCUUUUUUAAAAAUAUUUAAUAAAUUUUUUAACAAUACAAAAGUAUAUAUUAGUCAACGAAAAUAAGAUAGAACACAAAAUUUUAUAUUAUAAAAUAUAAAAACAAAGAUAAUAUAACACUACAAGAAAAUUAUUAAAUAAAAAUCAAUUUUAGAGAAAAAUAUAAUUAGUUGCUAUAUUGACUAAAUUAGAUAUUAUUUUAGAGACUAAAAAAAUUAUUGAUUUCUAAAUUAGUAUCUAAUCAACUAUCAAUUUUUUUUAUCAAAUCUAAAAUCUAAAUAAUUUGUAGUUAAAAUUUUGUUAGUUACUUAAAUACUAAUUUAGAAACUAUUUACUAAUUUAGAAAUUAAUAAAAGACUUUUGAAAUUAUUUUCCUUCGUUUAAAUUUUAUCUUCAUAAUAAGAGUAAAAUAUAAUUGAUUUGAAUAAUUUUAAUUACAUUUAAUAAAAAAAUAAUUUUUAUAAUCAACACUAUUUAUAUCAUUUUAAUAGUUAACUUAAAUAUCAUAUUUUAUUAUUAAAAAAUAAUAACAUUCUAUUUAUAUUAAGAAUGAAAAAUAAUAAUCAUGUGAGCCUAUCAGUAUGCUAUAUUUUUAAUUUAUACUUUUCAAAACCAUAUAAAACAUUAUAUAUGUCAUGGUAAAAGGUAAAAUUCAAGUCUUACCUAUUAGUUUUCUAUUAAAUAUUUUAUGAAAAGGUAAAAAUGUUAUUGAGUUUGGUAAUAUUAUAGAUUUUUUUCAUUAAAACAAAUAACAUAGUAUUAAAUGAAAUGGUAAAUGGUAAAUUUGAUUGUUGAGGGGGAAAAUGGAAUGUUAUAGGUUUAAGUGUUACUUUAAUUAAUAUAAAAAUGUUGAAACACAAAAGGUGUACUCAUUCCAAAUUUUAGGGAAUGGAUAUAGCAAAGCCGUUUUAUUUGAAAUGUUGAAAUGUUAGUGUGUUUCCUCUGAAACAGUGUUAAAAAGAAUAAAAUGGUAAAAGUCAAUAAUGUUGAUAUGUAUCUCAGUGCAAUAAACUAUAUGGCCAUAUAUAGAUAGAGAUUGCAACUAUUCAACUUUAUCUAAUGCCUCUAUUUUUUUAUGCUUCCCAAAUAGUUACGUUCUUUUUUUUAUGGUAGAUGGUUUAGUUGUUAGGCUAUAUAGGGAAUACCAAAAAAAAAAAUUUUCUUUGUUAGAUUAUUUUUCCAAUUUCAAAUUUGUUAAUAUAACAUUAUUAUCAUCAAUUAUUAAAUUUAAGAUAUAGUCCAUCUUGAAAUUUAAAAUUUUGUUAUAUUUAAAAAAAAAAAAAAAACAUCUUGAGUGGAUUAAGCACUAAAAAAAAUCAUGAAAUAAAAACCAAUUUUAGAAUUUUAGAAAUAGAAAAUAAUUAGUUGUUAUAGUGACUGGAUCAAAGAUCAUUUUAGAAACUAAAAAAACUUUUAGUUUCUAUUAUUGCUAAAUGGUUUAUAAAUUGGUAUCUAACUAGCUACCAAAGUUUUUGCUACCAAAUUUAGAAUCUAAAUAAUUGGUAAUUAAAACCUUGACAACUAAUUAGAUACCAAUUUAAAAAUUAUUUAACAAUUAUAUAAACUAAUUUAGAAAUCAACAUUUUUUUUAGUCUUUAAAAUGGUCUUUAAUUUUGUCACUAAAAUAAUUAAUUAUUAUUGGUCUCUAAAAUUAAUUUCUAUUUCAUGAUUUUUUUGUAAUAAAGAGAUAAAUAUAUAUUUAAAAUGUAAAUAAAUUUGACUUCUAAGUAAUAUGAGACUAAUAUGUGUAUCGGAACAAGUCUAUAGUAGAAGUCUAAGAAGAAAAAAUUCUCCUAAUCGAGAACUAAGAAAACAAUAAUUUAUUUUUAGAUUUUUUCAAUCUUUACAGACAACGUUAAUUUUUUAACCUCAAGUCCACCAGGAUAAUAUCAUUAAAAUCAAUUACCACUUUCAAAAUAUUAUCUAUUUUAAAACUUGAAAUUUCAUUGUAAUUUUAUCUUUUAAAAAUGACACGGUGAAUUAAAAGAUAUAGAUCUGUUUAAAAUAUAAUUAAUUUAUACUCUAAACAUAAAUUUACAGUACCUAUAUAAACAUUUUGGUGGGUUAAAGUCUAUAUAUGGUUCUUCUUUCUCAUACAUUAAGUCAACGCAUAAAAUAAGACGCAACAUAUUAAGUUUUGCCUUUGUUGUUUUGAAAAAUAAAACUUUAUUCAUGUCGAUUAUGUUAGAUACAAAUACACAUAAUUAAAUCAAAACAAUUCAUUAAAUAUUACCUAAUACAUUAUAAGGAAAACUAUUCUGUUCAUUUUUCAUCUUGUUAGAUCAGAAACAGUCACACUAUUAUUAAGAAUGAAAAUCGUCUCGGUUCAGUGGACUUGGAAAAGCUGAAUGAUGAAUUGGUUUAUAAAUGUAAAAUGAUAUUUUUUUUUAUUCUUUAAAACAAUUUGUUUUGCAGGAAAUAACGUGUUUAGGUGAUUACAAUUUUUUGUUAAACAUUUUAUUAAAACUAAAAAUAAUAGUGCAGUUAAAUUAAGUGAGGUAAUGUUAUAGAAAAAACUUUAGUCAGAAGAAAUAAUAUAAUAUUAAAUGAGAUGGUAUACGUGAAAUUUUAUUUAUGAAGGGUAUAAUACUUUAGCAUAAAGAAACACAGUAGAUAAAUGAAAUAAAAUCUUAUUAAAUAAAUCAAUUUUAGUCAAAGUUUAUAACCUAAACAAAUAAUUGCAAAGUAACUAAAACAACUUGUCAACCACACUCAUAAUUGUUGUUUAAAAUGAUUAAUAAAUUAUAAACUUAGGUUAUAACCUAUUACCUAUAUUACUCAAAUCUCCUUACCAUUAUAUACUAACUAGUGAAUGUUAAAUUUUAAAAAAGAAAUGUUUUAUUCACAUAUGAACGGUAAAAAACAUAUAUUUGAGAUUGUUUAUAAUAAUAUAAUAUUUUUUUUAAAUUAAAAGAUAAAAUAAAUAAAAUAAAAAUUUAUUAAAGUGUGAAGUUUUUACUGUUAAGAAUGUUAAUAUAUUAAAACAAAUAAAUAAGAAUGAAUACUGUGGUCAGAAUUUAUAUGGCAUGGAUUAACUUAUAGAUUCCAAUUUAAUUGUUGUCUUUGUGGAAAGUAAAAUGAUAAAAUCUUCAAAAAGCAAAUAAUUAAAACUUUAAACUUAAUUUUUUCAUAUAUAUAUAUAUAUUUAUAUUAUUUUGAAAACAAAUUACGAGUUAGUUUAUUCUGACCCUUAAGUGACCCAUUAGUUUAGUAUAUUAAAUAGAACAUGUCAUAACAUGUUAGUGAAUUAAAUACCUAGUUUUGUCUAAGUUUAUUAUGUUAUUCUUAAUUUAAAAAAUAAAAAAUUCAUUAAAAUCACAAAAAAUCAAUAAAAAAUAAUUAAUUUUUAAAAAAUAAAAUAAAUAAUUAGUAUAUUACUUAAACUAAUCCAAAUUUAUUCAAGCAAAACCAAAAGUCUAUAAAAUUAUAACAACGAAAAUAGCACGACAUCAAUCGAUGACGAAGAAUAUCCUUUUCAAUCCAUGUUUGAAAAGUAUCUGAACGAAUCCAAGAGAAAAAUAGAAAGUUUUUUUAUUUUAUAAAAGUAUUUAGAUUUUUAAAACAUUAUAUUUUGCAGUUUUAUCAACCCUAGUUGCACAGUUGUCAACUGAGGGAUCACACUCCAAGAACUUCACGUGUUUCACUAUUUUAACUUUCAUUCAUUAUAAGUAACACGCUAAUCCACAAAAUCUUUUCCUUUUGACUUUAGAACUGACAAAUUUAACACUUCUUGAUGGCAAGUCAGAGUUAUUUUCUUAAAAUAUAAAAACAACUUAUUUUAAAAAUGUCAGAAAAAAAUAUUUUGUGAGAAAAUAAAUAGAAAAUAGGAAAUUUUCUGACAUUGGAAAUUAUGUUAUGAGUGAAGUGUGUAGUCAAAAAAGGCAACCCAGUGCAUGGUCAAAGAAUUAAUGGUGGAAAAGCUCUUACACGUUUCUCUGUUCCCACGCAAACAUGGUCCCAAUUUUUAGUCUCUAAUCUAUCUAAACCUUAGAAAUGGACAAACCGACAAACUAUGAAAAUGGUUUUUCUAUUUCAUACCAAAAACUGUUCUUAGUGUAUACUUUUCAUAUCACUAUCUUUUACAUUUUAUUAUUUAUCUGAGGAAUAAGAUGGGUUCAUCCAAAUCACCACGUAAAAUAGAAAAUAAUAAUGAUUCUAGAUGAAGAAAUAAGAUACCACAACACCAGUCACUGGAUGGAGACAGAUUCAGAUCUAAGUUAAAUAAGUCUUCGUAUCUUCAUAAUUCAUCUGUAUUGAAAUUUGAACCUUUUUUUUUCAAUGAUUUCUAUACUAAAUAAACAUUUAACAAAUAUAUGAAUUUGCUUAUAGUAUAUUACGUUUGAGGGAUGCAAAUAUUUCCCAUAUUAAGUUUAUAACAUUUAAUAUAUAAAUAAGUUUAAAAUUUAUUUUCUANNNNNNNNNNNNNNNNNNNNNNNNNNNNNNNNNNNNNNNNNNNNNNNNNNNNNNNNNNNNNNNNNNNNNNNNNNNNNNNNNNNNNNNNNNNNNNNNNNNNNNNNNNNNNNNNNNNNNNNNNNNNNNNNNNNNNNNNNNNNNNNNNNNNNNNNNNNNNNNNNNNNNNNNNNNNNNNNNNNNNNNNNNNNNNNNNNNNNNNNNNNNNNNNNNNNNNNNNNNNNNNNNNNNNNNNNNNNNNNNNNNNNNNNNNNNNNNNNNNNNNNNNNNNNNNNNNNNNNNNNNNNNNNNNNNNNNNNNNNNNNNNNNNNNNNNNNNNNNNNNNNNNNNNNNNNNNNNNNNNNNNNNNNNNNUGCUAUAAAUAAGAAACCCUAAAUCUUAUUCCCUUUCCCAGUUGCUUUCACACCCUUUACCAAAUAAUGCAUUUAGCUUUACUAACAAUAGAAAAUGGCACAAUGUAGUACAAAAAUCUAGCAUAUAAUUUUGUUUGACCUUUUAAGUCUUAUUUAUGGUUAGACAAACCUAAAGCACCAAUAAUAGGGAAGACAGUGUAGUACAAACCUAUUUACUAGGAAUCAGGUUUCUCUUUCAGAAACCUUUUUGGAAGGGUAUCUUUAAAGUGUUCAAACUUAUAUUUCAAAAAGUGUUUAAAAUUUAUAUUUCGAAAAGAGUUUAAAAUUUAUACAUUAAUUAAUGAAGCAAGUACUUUUAUACAAUCAAUUAUGAAUAGUGUAAGAAAUCAUUCUAAAAUAGUAAUUGCAAAAAAAUCAAGAAUAUGACUUGUAAAAAAAAAUAAUGAAAUAGAAAUUAAUUUUUAGAGACCAAAACAAUUAGUUGUAAUAGUAACUAAAUUAGAGAUCAUUUUAGAAAGUAAAAGAAAAAUUGAUUUCUAAAUUAGUUUUUAUUAUUGUUAAAUAAUUUUUAAAUUGAUAUCUAAUUAGCAACUAAAGUUUUAACUACCAAUUAUUUAAUUUUUAAAUUUGGUCUCUAAAACCUUGGUUAAUAAUUAGAUACCAAUUUAGAAACUAUUUAACAAUAAUAGAAUUUAGAGACCAAUUUUUUUUUUAGUUUCUAAAAUGGUCUCUAAUUUAGUUACUAUUGCAACUAAUUAUUUUGGUUUCUAAAAAUUGGUUUCUAUUUCAUGAUUUUCUUGUAGUGAUCUAAUUGGUGAGUAUAAAAAAUUCUUAUGCAACAUAUUAUUUUUUUCUUUGAAAACAAUUGAAAUUUUACACUUUAAAAGAAACAGUUUUUGAAAUAUAUUAAUAUUAAGUAUAGUUUGAAAACAAAAAAAUUGGCAUACUUAUUUAUCUAAAAAUAAUGUUUCAAAUAUUAUUUUUCAGUUUUUUAAAAAAUCAGAAAAAACAGAAAAGGGACGUGAAGAAAAGGAAAAUUAAAAUUAAACCUGCCAUUAACUAUCACCUCAUUAAAAAAAAAACUAUUACCUCCUGAGUUCAUAAAAAGAGAGUUGAAUGAGGCCGUAACAUCCAUCAACUUUAUCCCAGGGAGUUCUCUGUAACUUCCAAUUCACUUUCACCUAUCAUUACAAGAAAAUCAUGAAACACAAAUUAAUUUUAGAAACCAAAUAAUUAGUUGUAAUAAUAACUAAAUUAGACAUCAUUUUAGAAACUAUAUAAAAAAUUAGUUUAUAUUAUUGUUAAUUAAUUUCUAAAUUGGUAUCUAAUUAACCAAGGUUUUAACUAUCAAUUAUUUAGUUUAUAAAUUUGGUCUCUAAAACAUUGGUCGCUAAUUAGAUACCAAUUUAAAAACUAUUUAACAAUAAUAGAAACUAAUUUAGAAACCAACAUUUUUUUAGUUUCUAAAAUAGUCUCUAAUUUAAUUAUUAUUGUAACUAAUUAUUUUGGUGUCUAAAAAUUAAUUUUUAUUUUAUUAUUGUGCUAUAGGAGUAGGCUACAACUAUUAUUUUGUUCACUAAUGUAAUACGUUUCUAAAAUAAACAAAAUCUUCUGGCUAAGAAACUAGGAAAUCCAGAAUCUAUGAACUACAAUCUAGCAGUUGUCCUAGACUAAGAAAAAGAAGAACUAGGUCUCUGAUGUGGCUUCUGCAUUGUGAUUUUCCGUUAAAAUCAACAACAGUAGAAAUCGAAGAAAAACCAAAAUAUUUAUUCUGCAACCACCACAUGCUAAGUACUAAUUCACACUUAAUGCUAACAAUAAUCGGAACAGACAAUAAGAAUGCUUGUUU